UAUGUGAUUUGUAACAUGAUCCCUAAUAUAGAUAACUUAUAUAAACUGAUGCAGGCAGUGAAUGGUUUGCUCAGGGGAGGAGGGACCUCGAGUUCAAGCGAGGAUCUGCAUGUGUUUGAAGGAGGAGUGGUGGGGCUGCUACCGUUUCCGCCGUCGAAGAAGCGGUAUCGGAGGAAGUUUACUGUGGAGCAGAAAGAGAGGAUGAGGGUGGAGGAUUCAGAAGCUGGCUGAGAAAAAAGUGGAGUGAUUUGGGUGGAGGUUUGGAAUUAAGAAGCAGGAGCUUAGCUAGGGUUUGGAUGCACAACAAGAAGUGAGAUUUGGGAAUGUGGAGGGAGAGGAAGGGGAAGUAGCUGAUCAAGAUUAAGGGGGCGUUUGUUGCGCCAGAUUAUCUCGGACUGGACUAGCUUCAAGGACUAAGCUGGACUGGCUUAGACUAGACUAAGCUGGACUAACUUAAUGAAGCGUUUGGUGCAGUGUUGGACUAAGAAGCUGGAUAAUAACAAAUUCUAAUAUUAUAUUAUUUAAUAUAUAAAUUAUUAAUAUUUUAUUAUGAUCUAGGUGACCGGAGAUGACGAGGAGUCUAUCGGGAGUGGUUGUUGAGCAUGACGAUGACGAGAGAUGAUAGUCUUAGCUAGUCCUAUGGUUAUUGGGGGGUCUCGCUAAGACCUCUUAGUGAAGGGUUUUGUCCAUGCUAGUCCCCUUUAGUCUCAUUAAUGUUAGUCCCAGUAUGGAACAAACACAGUAUUUGACUAACAGCUAGUCCAGUCCAGUCCCACUUAGUGAGGGUACUGACAAAGAAUUAAGAGGGUUAAUUAAGUGAGAUUUGUAAAAGUUCAUAAUGUGUAAUACCCUUUUAAUUAUCGAAUCAAUGAUUUACCAAAUGAUUGUAACCUUUCAAUUAUGUAAUAACAUAUCAGUUUUUCAUUUGGAACUAGCAUAUGGGCACGCAGAAAAUAUGUGUGAAAGUUUUUUAUUUCUGUUUUUAAAAUGGGAGGAGAAAGGAAGAGAGUAAGAGAGAAUGUGGGAUUGAGGAGAGAAGGGAGGGAACUUUAUUUUUAAUUUUUAAUUAGAGGUUUGUUAAAAUCACAUGUACGUGAGGUUUUAAAAAACAACAAAAUUUUAGUUGUGUAAAAUUACAUUAUUGCUUAUAUUUCUUAUUUAUGUUCAGUUUUAAUUGAAGGGUUAUAAUGGUAAUUUUAUGGGAUUUGGUUGACAAUGAAGGGUCUAUUAAUAUGUACUUUAGAUAAUUAGAGUUAACUGCUCCAUUUUCUCGCAUUUGUAGCUUUUCUACUUUUGAUUUUAUAUAUUUUUUGUGUUAAGUACCUUGACUUGUUUUCAGGUCAGUAGUUAUUUAUCACUAAUCAUAUUACAUGUUAGUAUUUUAUUUUUUUCUCAUUAGAUUUGGGUUAUUAAUUAAUUUUUUUUCUUUUAAUGCUAUGAAUUUUGUGGAUCUCAUCCUCCCUAUAUAUAAGGAAUUCCAUUAAGUUUUGUCAAAAAAUAUACUAUGAAUAAGUUUUCAAUUAAUAAAUUCACACAAUUAUACUUUUAUUUUUUCACUUAUUUUUAUAGUUUUGUAAUUUUAUGGACAUGCUUUGAGGUACUUUUGCCUGUAUAGUUAUUUGGUUAUAUGGUACGUUUAGUUUUGUAUAACAUGAGUACAUUUGGAUUUUAGUAGCAUACAUUUCUAGUAUGUUUAUGGUACAUUUGAAUUUUAAACAUACUACAAAAUUGAUACGUUUAUGAUAAAUUUGAGUUUUGAUUCAUGACAUUUAAUUGUGUUGAAGGGAUUAUUUUUAUUACUGUAUCAAAACAAAAAUAAAGUCGCCCUUAAUUGAAACUUAAGUAUUAAUUUUUUUUCUUGACAUGCCGUUUACGGUAGGACAAGAUUAAAUAUGAAUUUCACAAAAUUAAUUUCCUAGAUAUUAUAGGAAAUUAGUUGUAGCUGGACAAAUAUGGGUGUAUUAAAAUUAUUGGCAUUUGGUGUAAUUUCAUAUCCAAAAAAGGUUUAGUAAAAUCUAUUUGGUGCCACAUUAAUAGGAAGCAUUUUAAUCAAAAUUCUAAAACACAUAAAUGUUUAAAUUUACUUAUUUUUUAUUUUUUAUUUUUUUUGAAUUUGUUACAUCCUAAAUUAGAAUUAUGGAGAGGGGGAGAUUCUGUAAUUCCUAAUUUUCGUUCUACAAUACUAAGGAACUAUUGAGAAUAAAUCUCACAUUGGAAGCUUAAAUACUUUUUACUUGUUAUAUAUAGUCCCUACAUUUAGCUUUCGUGCAUUUAUAACAUGCAUUUCGUUACAUCUCAACCUUUAUAAUAAUCACUUGCGUAGCCAUACCAAAGGCUACGGUGGGCUGUAGCCCAAGGAGGGUUUGUGGCAAUAUAUAUAUAUUUUUGUGUAUUGUCUAAUAUAAUAGACAAAAAGAAGUGCAAGAAUAAUUAUUUUUAAUGAAACUAGCACAAUGAGUAUUUAGCACAAUUAAAAAUAUAAAAAUUACCAUGGAAAUUGUGAUGUUAUUUUGUUCAUGAUUCAAUCGACUUUAUAUUAGUUUCAAUCAAUUUUUAUUAAGAUUGCCUUUACUUCUACUUUAAUUUUUUUUUUUUUUGUAAGUUUUCCAUCUUCUUCUUGUGUUUUCAUCUAAAUACAUGUGAUAUUUGUUGAUUCAUUGUAAUUUUUGCAGUUUGCAAUCGCGAAGGUUAUUGAGUUUAUGCCUAACAAAUUUUAAGUAUACUAGAAGUUAAACUUAAACUUUUGCAUACAAUACGUAUGUAGCAAAAAAAAAACUUUUGAUUUUAGGAUAUCUUACAACUCAAGACAUGACACAUCAAAUUUAAUAUUAACUCCAAGUUAACAUCCUCAAGUCUGAAUAAAAACGAAACAAUAAACAAAAGGUCCAAAACUUAUAAACGCCUUGAUGCCAGCUGACCUUUACGGCUGAUAAGUUUUUGAUUUUCUGUUUUGAUUAUUUUUAAAUUUAUAGACUUAAUGUCAUUAAAUCAGAGUUAACUAUUAAGUUUGACGUGUCAUGUUUUAAGUCAUUAGAUUAUAAAAAUGAUUGAAUUUAAUGCAACAUAAUACGAAUGAGUCAGAUUUAAAUAAACUAAUCUUAUACUGUUAUAACUUUCAUCUGCUUAGUAAUUCGGCUGAGGAGGGUCACAAUAUGUGUGAUUUCAUCAUAGCACUAUCCGUCCUCAUUAACAGUUAUUCAUAUUUAAUUAACUAAAAAGGAUAGAAGAGACUACAUGAUGAAAAAAUAUAUAUAUUGUCAAGACGGCUACAAAUAAAACAAGUCACUUAAUGAUAAACUACAUAUUCUUCAAGAAAAUGAUCUCGCACAUCAUUUUAUUUCUAUACACCUUUCUUUUUUUUGUCGAACUUGAACAAUUAAAGAAAAAAAUAGUUCCCGUGAUUUUUUCUGAGAAAAAAAGUACAAUAUUAAUUAAAUAGAUUGAAGUGUACAAAAUAAGAGGAUAGCGAUGCAUACAUGGGUCUCGAUAAAUAGACAAAGCAUAAUAAUCAUAAAUGAAAAAUAUGACCACAAAAAUCUGAAAAUACAAAAUAAUAAUCACAAAUGCUGCAAUAAUGUGAAAUGUGAAAAUAAUGGGAGAUCAUGUAAAAGCUCUCAAAACAAUUAAUCGUGGAAUAUGAAAAACGCCUUGCUUUUUUAUAUAGACACUGUAAAGGACAUCGGGGCUCCAAAUCACCUCGUGAUUCAAAACCACAGUUCAACGUUGGAUCCAACAAACUCAAAGAACGUACCUGCAGUACUUGGAUUUGGAAAGUGUUGGAAUCUAUUAGUUUAUUUAGGAAAUUAAUUAGAUAUUUGAUUUUGUGUUAGGUUUUUUUAAUUUUAUUUUAUAUAUUUUUUAAAUAUAUUUUAUGCAUUAGGGUUUUUUUAGGUCCAUGCCAACUAUUAGUUUAAGAAUUAAGUUAAUUAAAAUGAAGCGCUCAGUUUGUAAUCAUUUCAGUAUUCUUGUUUGUUUGUUUUCAGUUAAAAAUAUUUAAUAGUUUUUGUUUGUUCGUCCGUUUUGGUACUUUAAUUUUCAACUGAAAGUACUAUAUCAACCACACAAACGACCAAACCCACCUAUCGCAUAUAGGGAGACUAGAAGAUGAUAAAAAUUCACAUAAAGCGAGACUGUAAAAACAUAGACAACUCACAAUGGUAUUAUACUUUCUCAAUAGAGAUACAAUUGUAUUUCAUUGUACCAUUGUGAUCAACUAUUGUUUGGGUUAAUAUUUGAACAUUGGACUUAAAUGAAGGAGAGCCCAAGGGUACCAAAUUAAAGGGGACUUGCCCGAAGCCCAGCACCGAGCCCAAUGGAAAAUUGAAGCCUUCUCAGCCAAGUUACAAGCCACGUGCUUACCAUUGAAGUGACAAGUGAUGGAGACUAAUCUACUACUAGCCAAAGAACACUUUUUAGUGGUAUUACAAGUAAAAAGCUGAUGACUCAUUACCUUCCAGGUGCUUUCGGGCAAGAGCAAAAGUCACAGCAGUCGGGCUAAUUUGCCUAUAAAAAGAAGAAGAGGCCCCAAGGACAAGGGCACUCAACCAAUGAAACAAAUAAACAUACAAAUUCUGCUCGAUUUGCAUCCAAAAGUUGAAAUCAACUCGGAUUCAGUCAUUUUUAGCGAUAAGCUAUCUCUUGUCUAAGUAUAAAAGCUCUGCUAUUUCCCUUAGUGGCGUAGUAUCGAUUCCCUUGUGUAAACUUAUUUACCAUCCAUCCCUUUUUAGCAUAUAAACCCCUGUAAAUUCAAAGAGAAGUGACUGCAAGAGGUUCAACCUUUCCAGACAAGGUGAAAUCUUGCCCAAAGCUCUUUGUUUGCCUUUUGAAUUUGUAGAUCUAUUACUUAAUGCAUUCUCCAGUAUGUAUUCAAGUUAUUUCCAUCAGUUUUCCUAUUUUAAGAGUCCCAUUUACAUUUGGAUCUGGUUAGUUUAAUGGGUAUGUUAUCAUUAAAACCAAUCAAGAACUAAGUAAAUGGCUUAAGGGGAUUUGGACUCCCUUCACUCGAACAUACAAGAUCAUGAACUAAAAGUCCUUGUUUACAAGGCAAGAAAAAGAACUUAAUGUGGACUUAACUCAUCCACAACAAUCCUUUGAUAACAAGAAGUUUGAAGUAACUUGGAGCGCAAGUAAUCGACUUAAAACACAUUUGUUCUACAUCUGCUAUAUUGAGAUAGCAAUGGCACGCCUAGCACUUAGUUAGUUUUGAUUGCGAGCCUCAAGGCCUACACCUAAGGCCCCACAAAGGCACAUUUCAGAACUAACUUUGUUAUUUUCUUGUAGCUUAUCAACAAGCAAGAGCCUCGACUACACAUCCAAAGUGCUAAUCCCUUAGGGAGUUGUGCUGAGGUCCGAUGAACCUUUUCCAGAGAAAUCUUUGCUUGAACAACUAUAUGACUAAAGAAAAUGUUAAAGAAACCAUGUUUUCAGACCAAAUCGUGAUCGAUGUACCAUUUUACCUGGCAAUAAACAUUUUUCAUUUUCUACUUUAGGUUUACAAAAUUCUCAACUUCCCAAUAUUAAUCUUUUUUCCUACAGCAGUACUACUAUACCGUCAGCUUAAAUCCUCAUUUACGUACAUUGUCGUCUAUAUAUCUAUCAUUUUCCAAGUCAACUAAGAUAAGCACAACCAAUCAUUUUACCUUCGAGACGUGGAGAUGGCAAACCAGGGGAUGCCAUGUGGCAUAUAUUUUGGCUUUGUGCACAGCUGGGUAAUUUCAGUCUACACAAGCACUAUAAAUAACACUGUUAGUGGUGUUGAUGCCGUACCUCGUACACAUCAGUAGGGUUUCUUUUAUCUUUUGACUGGGACUUGGAUUCUCUGCCUUCCCAUUUCGGUACCCUUCCCGUGCCCUCCCAUUUCGGUACCCUUCCCGUGCCCUCCUGUUUUGUGUGGUCACGGUUAAUUCAUGUUAACAUUUUAUAUUGUUUUUUAUAAAAAUAAUAAGACAAAAAAUAAUAAUAAUAUAAAAUAUUGACGUGGCUUAACCGUGACCACACAAACAGGAGGGCACGGGAAGGGCACCGAAUUGGAAGGGCAGAGAAUCCAAGUCCUUUUGACUGUCCUUGUUCUCAGAUGUUUAGUACAGAUGGUGCGUGGUCGAAGCACCCUUCAGUUCCUCGAAAAGAAGAGACUUAAAUGCAAACCCUAAUUUUUCUUUCAGAUCACGACGAUUUACGUCGAAUCGAAUCCAUGAUUUACCAUAAAGAGAUCCCUUGUGUUUGUACUCGUCAAGGAUGAUAUUGCUAUUCAUUCUGCGUGCGUCAAGAAGACCAUUAUUCCAAAGUUUGAUUAUGUAAGUUCUAAUUCAAAUGUUGUUGUUUCCUUUUUGCUUCUAGGGGUAUUUAGGGUUUAAUUAGUAUAAGAAUACGUAUGGAGGAAUCAUAAUGUUUGUAAGAUUUUGGAUUUUGUGAUUUGUAACAUGAUCCCUGAUAUAGAUAACAUAUAUAAACUGAUGUAGGCAGUGAAUGAUUUGCUUAGGGAAUGAGGGAUAGAGAAUUCAAGGGAGGAUCUGAAUGUGGUUGAUGGAGCAGUGGUCGGGUUGCCGUCAUUUCCACUAUCAGAAGAACACCAAUACUGUCCUCACUUGGCCACCUGCUCAAUCUGUCAGGUGUGGGGUUUUAAUACAAAGGUCUCGGUGUUAGUUAGAGUGGGGUAAUUCUAUAUAAAUGACUUGUUCUCAAGCCUUCUGGCCGAUGUGGGACAAAGGAAUUCUAACAAAAAUUGCUUGAGAAGAAUCACUUUCGACUUAAACCUUUUGAUAGCCAAGCUGUUGAGCCAACUCCAUUCCAUUCUUAAUUGCUAACAAUUCAGCAUGAAGAGCCAAAGAAACAUUGGAAAGAAAGCAUGUCGUUGCAGCCACAAAAGCGCCCUGCGAGUCACGAAUCACCGUACCAGCUCCACCAACCUGAGCCUGCAUUUUAGUAGCUUCAUCCACAUUCACUCUCACCCAGUCCUCCGCCACCUCCCCAGCCAUCGAACCACUUUCAUCCCCUUACCUAAUCCUAGGCGUCCGCUACUGUGCCACGAGUGCAAGGUCUGCCACCGCCUGGAACUCCUACAACCAUGCCACGACUCUUUGCGCCACAACUCCCGGGGCCUCUUGCUUCCUCUUCCAAAUGCGAUCAUUCCUUCUCCUGCCAAAUGUGCCAGACCACCAUACAAAUGAAGUCGAAAGCAAAUUGAUUAAGCAUUAUAUAUUUUUUAUCGCUAAUCAUAUUACAUGCCAAAAUAAACAAACAUGAUGGAGCCUUCACAAAGGUUGCUUAGGAGAAGUCUCAGCAGUCGGUAGAGCCUCAGAAAGAGAAGGCAUCGGAGGGGGAUCAUUCGGAGCCUCAGUACUGGACAGAACCCUAAAAGGAUGAGGCAUCAGAGGUUGAUCAUUUGGAGCUUCAUUACGCGGUACAGCCCCAGAAGACGAAGGCAAUAAAUGCCUUUGGAACAAACCCACAAAUCUCUGAUGAUCAAGUAAAACCUGACCAUCAGUUUCCUUCAUCUGGUCAAGCUUCCUCUUCAUGUUUGUAGCAUAGUCAUGUGCGAGCCGGUGCAACUGUUUAUUCUCAUGCUUGAGCCCUCUAAUCUCCUGUUUGAGACUCAUCACUUCGGCCGCCAAUGAUUCAACUUGGCGGGUUCGAGCAAAUAGGCGUUGGGCCAUAUUAGACACAGAACCUGCACACUGAACACUGAGAGCCAGCGAAUCCUUAACAGCUAACUCAUCAGACCGUUUGGAAAGUAGUCUGUUAUCUUUGGGAGUGAGAAGGUUCCUGGCCACCACCGCAGCGGUCAUAUCAUUCUUCAUCACGGAAUCCCCAACGGUAAGAGAACCAGUAGGGGAGACGAAGGAUGGGCGCCAUAUGUUGUCUGGAGAAGGCGGGGCUGCCUCUUCAACAAGGUUCAAGUCAAAACGACGGUCGGAGGGGCCAGACAUUUUCAAAGGUGUUGAAGAGAGAAGAGGUCGGACAAAUCAAGAUCUUAGAAGUGCAAGAAUGAAGCUUCUACUGGUGGAGAUUCAAGUGUGCUUUGGAACUUAAUGCCAGCCCCUAUAAAAAGCUGCACUCGACGGAGCUUCAGACAUCGAAGAGGCGCCCUGCUCAGAAAUCGAAGAGGCGUUUGCUUUCUCAAAAGCUGGGCUGCUUAGAGAUCACGAGGGUUGAUCUCAUAAAAUCGAAGAGGUGUUUGCUUUCUCAAAAGUUGGGCUGCUCAAAGACCACGAAAGGCCGAUCUCAGAAAUCGAAGAGGCGCUCGCUUUCUCAAAAGCUAUGGGCUCCUUAGAGACCACGAGGGCCGAUCUCAGAAAUCGAAGAGGCACCUACUUUUCCAGCCUUGUCAGCACCUGUCACACGCACACUCAGCUUUGCGGAAAUUAUGGGCAUUCUGUCGAAGACUUUCUGGGGAAGUAGAAAACACAUGAAUCUUACUGUUCCAAUCACCCACUUCCCACACGCAACAAUAGCUCAUGGGUACCACAGAUAACUUUGCCAAAGUUCUCUGCCAAAGUUGAGCACGUGAAGCUUGCAGCUCCCACUACAUCGCUCUGACCAAGAAGGGUAAAAGAAUAGCAAAGAAACAGCACUAACAAAGUUUAGACCCAUAAAUUUUGAAGGUCUAGCUACCAUAUUAUUACCCACAAGGGUAAAGGAACAGUACCACUGCUGGAUAAUUGGAAAGUCCCUGUGUGUCAACCUCUGUGCUUCGUGGCAAGGUAGACUAGCAAACAUGCCCAACCUUUACUCACAUUCGAGAAAACACUCCCAAUAAGAUUGCUUGCUCCAAAAUCGAAGAGGCACCGUCCUCCGAAUCUCGAGAGCCAGACUCCCAACAUGACUACUUUCUCAAAAAAAUCGAAGAGAGGGUAAAGGAACAGUACCAUUGCUGGAUAAUUGGAAAGUCCCUGUGUGUCAACCUCUGUGCUUCGUGGCAAGGUAGACUAGCAAACAUGCCCAACCUUUACUCACAUUCGAGAAAACACUCCCAACAAGAUUGCUUGCUCCAAAAUCGAAGAGGCACCGCCCUCCGAAUCUCGAGAGCCAGACUCCCAACAUGAUUACUUUCUCAAAAAUCGAAGAGACACUGCUCCCCGAAUCUCGAGAGCCAGACCCCCAGCAUGAUUGCUUUCUCAAAAAUCGAAGAGGCAUCGUUCUCCGAAUCAAUCGAAGAGGCGCUCGCUUUCUCAAAAGCUGGGCUGCUCAGAGACCACGAGGGCCGAUCUCAGAAAUCGAAGAGGCACCUACUUUUCUAGCCUUGUCAGCACCUGUCACACGCACACUCAGCUUUGCGGAAAUUAUGGGCAUUCUGUCGAAGACUUCUGGUGAAGUAGAAAGCACAUGAAUCUUACUGUUCAAUCACCCACUUCCCACACGCAACAAUAGCUCAUGGGUACCACAGAUAACUUUGCCAAAGUUCUCUGCCAAAGUUGAGCACGUGAAGCUUGCAGCUCCCACUACAUCGCUCUGACCAAGAAAGGUAAAAGAAUAGCAAAGAAACAGCACUAACAAAGUUUAGACACAUAAAUUUUGAAGGUCUAGCUACCAUAUUAUUACCCACAAGGGUAAAGGCAACAGUACCACUGCUGGAUAAUUGGAAAGUCCCUGUGUGUCAACCUCCGUGCUUCGUGGCAAGGUAGACUAGCAAACAUGCCCAACCUUUACUCACAUCCGAGAAAACACUCCCAACAAGAUUGCUUACGCUCCAAAAUCGAAGAGGCACCGCCCUCCGAAUCUCGAGAGCCAGACUCCCAACAUGAUUACUUUCCUCAAAAAUCGAAGAGACACACUGCUCCCCGAAUCUCGAGAGCCAGACCCCCAGCAUGAUUGCUUUCUCAAAAAUCGAAGAAGCAUCGUUCUUCCGAAUCUCGAGAGCCAGAUACCACAUACCACUUUUUCAAAGUGCUCUGACAGAGUUAAAACAUGUGAAGCUGGCAGCUCCCACUACCGUGCUAUGACCAAGCAGGGUAAAGGAAUAGCAUUACUACUUGUUGUUAGGGAGACUCCUAUAUAUGUCGACCUCCAUCCCCAACGGACAGGCAGACCUGCAAAAAUGCUCAACCCUUCAUCAUAUCUGAGAGGGCACUCCCAACGAAGCCUUUCGAAAUAUUCAGCUUUCUUUCCCCCCGAUAAUACCUCUGCAAACAAGCUAUACUAGAGCAAGAAUAUCUCAUAUCAUCAGGGUUAAAAAGCAAGAGUAUCCCAUAUCAUGCUUUUUUCCCUGUCUUUUCCUUUGGCCUUGUUUUUACCUGCAAGACAAGGAGAAAGAGAGCAAUCAGUCAGCACUUGAAAUCAAGCUCCCAGCCAGGAACUGACUGCCUGGAACCCCUUACCUGAUUACUUACCUGGCAUUGCUCUCGAGUACUCAUCUUCAACAUCUUAUGUUUCCAGGGAAGAUACCGCAUCUGCUUGAGGAACAGAUAGGGCAAGUGCGAAGGAUACAAGGAAGCAUGUGGAGACAAGCGUAACACAGCACACGUGCCGAUACAUUCCAUUACUCUGUCAAAAGCAAAAGUAUCCCAUAUCAGCAGGGUCGAACGUACUCUAGAUUUGAUGGACUUGUUUUGACCCUCAAAUUCUUCAGUCGGCCUUAUACUCUGGAGGAAACCAGAAAACCCUCCAGCUCAGUUCAAGAAUAAGCCUGUGGAAAGUUACUUCUUCAAAAGCAAAAGUAUCCCAUAUCAUCUCUUCUCAUUUUUCUUCUCUUUAUCCUUCAUGCUGCUGCAAGAUGGGGAGAAGGUGAACAAUCAGCCGGAGCUCUGAUUGCUUACCUUGUCUGUCACCUCUUUCAGCAGAUCCCCUAGCUCGGCGACUUGGGGGACUCCUACUACAUGGUUUGUAUCGCGCUUGACCAAGCCUGAAACUACAAGUAAGCUUCAAGUGAAAUUGAUACAUUACCUUGUGCAUCUCCACCAGUUAAAGAUACCACCCCUGGAUGGAGGAAGAGUACUUCCAGAGAAGCUGCCACAUCUACCUAUGAGACAGAUAAGGCAAGUCAAGAUGAUACCACACUCCGAUACUUAGAAGUUUCGUGAUUACGAGAUUAUUCUCCCACAAUAUUUCCUAAUGUCAUUUGUACUCUAAUGUCAUUUGUACUAAAUCAUUCACUUGUACUCACUAAAGGAGAGCUUGAACCUAUGUACUUGUGUAAACCCUUCACAAUUAAUGAGAACUCUUCUAUUCCGUGGACGUAGCCAAUCUGGGUGAACCACAUACAUCUUGUGUUUGCUUUCCUAUCUCUAUCCAUUUAUAUACUUAUCCACACUAAUGACCGGAGCAAUCUAGCGAAGAUCACAAAAAGCGACCGUUUUCGCUACCUAGGAUCUAUCUUGCAAGAGAACGGAGAAUUAGAUGGAGAUCUCAACCAUAGAAUACGAGCUGGAUGGAUGAAGUGUAAGAGUGCAUCCGGCGUGUUGUGUGACCGUCGUAGGCCACUGAAGCUCAAGGGAAAAUUUUAUAGGACGGCAAUAAGGCCAGCGAUGUUGUAUGACACAGAAUGUUGGGCGGUGAAACAUCAACACGUAUACAAAAUGGGUGUAGCGGAGAUGAGGAUGCUUCGUGGGAUGUGUGGGCACACGAGAAAGGAUAAGAUUGAGAAUGAGGAUAUCCGAGGUAAAGUAGGAGUAGCCGAAAUUGAAGGAAAGAUGAGAGAAAAUCGGUUCCGGUGUUUUGGACAUGUGCAAAGAAGGCCGACUGACGUUCUGGUUCGAAGAUGUGACUACGGGACAGAGGUUCAGGGCCGAAGGGGUAGAUGAAGACCUAGGAAAACUUUGGAAGAGACUCUAAGAAAAGGCUUAGAGUACUUGGAUCUAACGGAGGACAUGACACAAAACCGAGCGCAAUGGCGUUCUAGGAUUCAUAUAGCCGACCCCACUUAGUGGGAAAAGGCUUUGUUGUUGUUGUUGUUGUUGUAAUCAUAUUACAUGCCAGUAUUUUAUUUUAUUUCUCACUUAAUUUUGGUUAUUAAUCAAUUUGUUGUUUUAAUGCUAUGAAUUUUGUGGAACUACAAAAAACAAGGGGCCUUUUGUGACAGAACGGACAUGUCUCAAAAAGUAAUUAAAGUGUUGUAAAAAGCUUUUGGCGACGGCCUUGCGACAGUAAUGGAUGCGUCGCAACAAAUCUAGGUCGCAAUGUUUUAACAACUAUUUACGACGCUACCUAAAGCAUCGUUAAUAAUAGAUCCAGGUGUAAAAAAAAUUCUGGCGUCAUAUUUGAUGCCAUUUACAAAUUAUUCUAAUUAAUUUUACAAACUAGAAACAUAUUAUUAUUGAAAAUUUUGCAUUGUAUUAUCAUAUACAAGUACGACAAAACUACGAAAGCAACACUAUAAUUUUACUUAAAGUUAGCUGAAUGGUCGUAUACAUUAUACACCAAUAAGUGUGAGGCUCGUGGUCGUGAUUCUGUGCCUGAACCUUAGGAAUAGUUAACAAUCCAUUUUCUUGCCAUAGUGAAACAUAUUUGACAUCAGAAUCAACAAAAUGACAAGAAGAAAUAGCAAACUACAAGCUAGUUUCGUGAUGGUUCUGUAGCACGAGCACACCAAGAUUAUACAUGAAUCAAAGUUUUGACACUCCUAGUUUUGUGAUGAUUCUGUAGCAUGAGCACACCAAGAUUAUGAAGAAACUUGUAGAAUCCUAUAUAAAUAAGUUGAAGUCUAGCAAGUUGACUGAUGUGGAAGCUGCUGGUCUCACCUUUAUAUAAUGACACUUUGCCUCAAGUAUUUGUCGACUCUCUAUUUGUUCCGCUUGAUCCGUCUCCUGUUACCAUACAGAGUUGGCGAGCUUUAACAUCAGCCGUACUUUGCUCCAUGAGUAAAGAUAGCUCAAUAUGGUUGUAGCUUGCUUUGUAACAUGAUAAGCUUGGGCCAUUAUUUGCAAUCUUACAAUCCCCUUCAAACGCCGUAAAUUUUCUAGCCUGCAAUGGGUGAAAGAAAGUCUUAGGAACACAAAAAACAGCAUAACAACAAGUGCUCCUUCAUGCAUAAAUGUCUACAUUGGUCCUCAUCUGGCACGAAAUGGCCAUUAUAUUUAGAACAGUUUUGAGUUUUCAUUUGAAUCAAAAAAGGGAAAAACUGCUAUGUAAUAACAUCAUUCAACUUUAUUACCAAAUCUUCGUUCUUAUCAAUAUUCAAACUAAAUACCAUUCACUUAAUAAGAAGAAUGCAAAACCAGAGAUAUAAACAAAAUUCCACAGGAUCACCGGUCAAAAGUAUUUGCUUGUUAAGUAAAAAUGCUAAUACAACUCAUGUAUGUUAUGACUGCAGCAUGGAUUGUGAUGCCUUCCAAGUUUUUAUAAGAGAAGCUAAUUGCAAGAUAGUUAUGGCAUAAAUUAUAAUUCUAAACCUUCAUACAUUUCAUCUAAGAUUUCCAAAUUCUAACCCAAUUUCCUAACUUGAUUUCAAUUACUGGUCACUUUACAGCUUCAGAUUCAUUUUGUUAACAAGAGCUAAACAAUGUAAAAGAAUUUGGAGGCUCUAUACCUUCAACAGUUUUGAAUUGUCGUCCUUUGAUUUCUUUAAGUCAACCAAUACCUUAAACCAACACCGGGAACCCGAACCUGUUGGUGAAAUUCUAUAUCCAAUUUAACAUAAGCCUUCCAGUUAAAUACAAUCAUCAUCAACAUUAAGUAACAAAGAAGGAAUUAACUUUUAAGCAUGCAUAAAUUGUUCUUUUCUUUUCCUCUAAAAUCAAUCCAACAGUUAAGCUACAUUAUCCAAUAACAAAUACAUAAAAUCACAAUAAGGUUAUGUUGGAGUAGCAGUUGUAAAAGAAGUAGCAAGGAAGAUGAAAACAAAGUCUCUGAUGGCUAUGUCAAGGACCAGAUUUCUCCUCUUCGUGGCCAUGGUCGUGUCCAAUGCCAUAACCGCAACCGUGGUGGUGAGUGUGAGGCUCGUCGUAGGCAGAUGCAGAGAACCCAGAAACAAAGCUCAAAUAUGAACAAAGCCCGACAACUAAAAUAGCUACCAAGACCAAUCAAACAGCAGGACACACGAAUGAAAUAAAAAAUCAAGAGGCACAAAAAAUCAAUAAAUAAUUAAUUGAACAAAAUUCGUAGAAAGAAACUCCAGGAAACUAAAAGGCACACCAGAAUCGGGACUAUAGAACUUGAAAUCGAGAUUACAAAGCUAGAAAUCGAGAUUCCAACCUGAGAGAGACCAAUCCAAAUCAAGCUCGCUGAGAGAGAGAGUGUGUAAGAAGGCUGAUAGUUUGAGAGAUCGUGAGAAUAUAGGCAAAGAGACGGAGAGAUAGAGUUUUGUUUUGGGGGGGGGGGGGGGGAGGGAGAGGGAGAGAGAGAGAGAGAGAGAGAGAGAGAAUUUGAGAGGCAGUCACGAACUUUACUAAAAAAAUUGAAAAUGGUGGAAUUGUUCAUUUGAAAUUAAGGCGCUUAAGACCAUCUUCAAUCCUUGGGCUAAAAACCAAAUUUUUUAGCCCAGAAACAUCUUUUCUACUCCAACCUUUCUACCCUAAAAUUUUAGCCUGGAAUUAUUAAAGAAUGAAAUUAGUCUAAAUUUUUUUCUUAAAUCAAUUUAAAAAAAAAAAUAUGUAGAUUAUUGUAAAUUAAUUUUAUGAACAUUUUUAUCUAAAAAAAUUUAAAUUCCGAUAAACAUUUCGCAUUUAGCCCUGGGGGAAAGCUGGGGGGUAUUUGGCCCAGAAAUAGCAUUUGGCAUUUAGCCUAAAAUUUUAGCAUGGGUUGGAGAGUGUUUGGGGGGGUAAUUUGGCUUUUAGCCCAGGGUUGGAGAUGGUCUAAUAGGGGAAAAAAAAGGGUGCUAAAAUAAAAAUAAAAAAUUUUGGGAAGGUGUCUAUCAAAUGUCUCUUGACGUCGAGACGUGUUUGCGACAUUACUUAGAGCUAGGGUGGGCACCUGAAUUCGAAAAUCAAAACCGAAACACGAAUCAAAUUGAACCGCAUCAAAUGGUUUGGUUUACUUUUGUGCUGUUUUAUUUUUCGCUUUACUGCCUGCGCAUUUGAACACGGAUCAAGCACAUCAACGACGGCAUAUCUCACUGCCAAAGGUAUUAUCCGACUGCCUAUUUCCAUUGAUAUGCAUCUGUUACAAUAUUAACUCCAGUUACACAGAAAACCCGUAACUAUUAUGCACCAUUAGUUCACCUCAUGCUCAAUUUACUUCAAAUUAAUGUGGGUUUAAUAGUAUUUGUAGUCCAAUUAUCUAAUCUGGGCUUAAUAUUAUAGAUUGGUAUAAUCCAAUAUAACCGGGUACAUGAGUUUUGGUAGACAUGCAUUAUAAUGUUUUUUGUCAGUUCGUUGAAUUAUGCUAGGAAUACCAACUAUUUAGACUUAAGUUCAUAAACCAUAUGAUGUGGUUGUAAUUGAAGCCAUGCUUGAUUGAAUUUUAAUAUUGUAUGCAUGCUUGAACAAUGCAGUAAUAGAAGACAUGAAAAUGAAAAAGAUUAAUUAUGUAAUUGUGUAUUAAUUCACGGCAUUUUUAAUUGUGUAAUUGUGUUGAAAGGAUUAAUUUUUUGGACUGUAUCAAAACAAAACUAAAGUUGCCUUUAAUAGAGUAUCUAUUUUUUUUUCUUGACAUGCCGUUUAUUGAAGGAAAAGAUUAAUUAUGCAUUUCACAAAAUUAAUUUCCUAGAUAUUAUAGGAAAUUAGUUGUAGCUGGACAAAUAUGGGUGUAUUAAAAAUUAAUGGCAUUUGGUGUAAUUUCAUAUCCAAUACAGGAUCUGUUUGGCGCCAUAGGAAGCAUUUUAAUCAGAUUCUAACACACAUAAAUGUUUAAUCUAAGAAACAAAUAGGACUAAUCUACUUUUGUUUGUUUUUCAAAAAAAAAAAAAAAAUCUACUUUUGUUUGAAUUUGUUACAUCCUAAAUUAAAAUUAAUGGAGAGGGGGUGAUUCUGUGAUUCCUAGCUUUUCGUUCUACAAACUGACUUUGUACAAUAUUGCUUGAGUAUUGUUCCUUAAUUCCCACCUCAAAUGAAUGGUUAAUAAUAAAUUUCACUUUGAUGAGAGAAUGAAUCUUGAAUGUGCUUAUAAGUAUUUGGAUACUUGUUAUAUAGCCAAUUGGUUUUAUGGUGGAAACUCAACUUUCUUUAUGAUAUCAGAAUAUGUUGUUCCACGUAUGAAGCCAACGGCCACAUGUGCUAUACGUCACCCGAGUUAUGUUGUCUAUGUGUUAAACUUGAAAUUUAGUCACACUUGAAGAAGCGUGUUGAUAAUGAAUUUCACAAUUAUGAGAGGUGGGACCUUUCACAUUCUUAUAAGUAGUUGAAUUGCUUUUUAUAUUUAAGAUUAUGAUAGAACCCCAAUGUUAGAUCCCACAUCGCCCAGAGAGUGGAUCCUCUAUGCUUUAUAUGUACAUGCUCAUCUCCAUAUAGCACGAGGCUUUUUGGGAGCUCACUGGUUUAGGAUUCCUUAGGAACUCCGAAGUUAAGUGAGAUCGCAACGAGAGCAAUCCCAGGAUGGGUGACCCCACUGGGAAGUUCUUGUGUGAGUUCCCAUAAACAAAACCGUGAGAGCAUAGUCGGGGCCCAAAGCAGACAAUAUCGUGUUACGACGGAAUUGAGUUCGGGUCGGGAUGUGACAAUUUGGUAUCAGAGCCAAUCCCUGGACGGAAACGACGGAAUCGAGUUCGGGUCGGGAUGUGACAAUUUGGUAUCAGAGCCAAUCCCUUGACGGAAAUGUGCCGACGAGGACGUCGGGCCCCUAAGAGGGGUGGAUUGUUAGAUCCCACAUCGCCCAAGGGAGUGGAUCCUCUAUGCCUUAUAUGUACAUGCUCACCUCCAUAUAGCAUGAGGUUUUUUGGGAGCUUACUGACUUCGGAAGUUAAGCGAGAGUAAUCCCAAGAUGGGUGACUCAUUGAGAAGUUCUCGUGUGAGUUUCCAAAAACAAAACUGCGAGGGUGUGGUCGAUGUCCAAAACGGACAAUAUUAUGUUACGGCGAAAUCGAGCCCUGAAUGUGGUGGAGUCAGGGUCGGGAUGUGACACCCAACUUCUUAAAGAAUCCACCGUUGAAGAACACUGGCUUCCAGAAUUAUUUUGAAGCUUUCAGUCCAACAAAUCUGAGUACGUGCUCACUGUUGAGGGUGAAAGUUUGGCAAUAGCCAGCCCACAUGUAAUAAACCUAUCAUUUGAUUGACCUCUUCAAUCCGAUCUGCGUGUCGGUGAAAGGAAAGGUUUCAAAUUGCUUGUGUUAACUAUAUCAUGUAACAGUCCUUUUAACUUACAUGACAGAAUAAAGUAAAAGUGGAAUACGGAGGAAUAGAGUUUAAGAUUACUUAAAAAAAUUUAAAAUAACAAAAAAAUGAAAUAUUGAGAUUUAAUUUUUAAAAUUGUGAAUUUUCUAGAUUUCUAUAUUUAUUAAUCCAAAGAAAGGACUUGUUGCAUUUGCAUGUUAAUUUAUAAAUUAACAUAGAAUUUAAACUUGUGAAUGGAAGGUUUCGAAUUCCAUUUUUUUUCCACUCGAAAAUUCUAGAUUUCUAUACUUAUGAAUUCAAAGAAAUGACUUGUUGCAUGUUAAUUUGUAAAUUAACAUAGAAUAUAAACUUGUGAAUGAAAGGUUUCCAAUUCUAAUUUUUUUUUCCACUCGAAAAUUCUAGAUUUCUAUGUUUAUGCUUAAAAAAAAAAAAGAACUUGAUACAUGUUAAUUUAUAAAUUGAACUUUAACCAAAUUUCAAGUUUACGUUCCUCAUCGAAACAUAAUGUAAUAGAAUUUUUAUAAAAUCCUAAAGAAAAUACCACGUUAACAAGCGUUAAUAAAAGUAAAGAAUUAUAUCAAUUUCACCAACUUUUGCAGGAAAAUACAUCGUCAUUGUUCAAGUCGAAACGCGUCGUUUCAAGCGACCACAUAUCAUCAUAUUUCAGUCGCUUAAGCCCCAGGUUAAACCCUUCUCUCUCUCCCCCUCUCCGAAUGAAGCAUUCUCGGUUGAGCUCGCUGUUCAAUUUCUCAUCUCGUUUCGGUUUCCGAAACUCACCGGGCGUUUCGCUUUACUCGACGACGACGUAUCGCCCUCACAGAGAGCCCUCGAGAGGCACACUCAACGACCUCUACCGUCGGAUUUCCCGCGCCGGAGAUCAUACAGCCCCCAUUUCCCCGAUUCUCGACCAGUGGAUCGAAGAAGGCCGAACAGCACCCAAAGGUGCAUUCGUCACCAUCAUCAAGGAGCUCAGGCAGUACAAGCAAUACAAGCACGCUCUCGAGGUACUAUGUUCUGUUUGGUUCUCUGGGAAAUGUGGAAAUGAAAUUAAUUUAGGGUUUCUUAUUCCGUAAUUUUUUUUUACUCAAUAUACUGAGAUUAUAUUGAAAUCAGUGAAAUUGAACUGUCAAUGGCUUGAAAUUAUGCUAAUUGAGUAGCUUAAUUGUGUUCCUAUCAGCAUUUGAAUGCAUAUAGAGCUUCAUUGCUUCAUUUUUGUGUGUUUAUAUUGUAUUUAUAUGUGUGUGUGUGUAUGUAUAUGUGUGUGUGUGUGUAUAUAUAUAGAUAUAUGUAGGAGAAGCUUUAUAAGAGGAUCCCGCUCCAUGGAGCGGAAUAGGAUAGUGCCCUCAUAAUGAACAUGUCAUGACCAUGUAUGACUGUUCAUAGUUUCGUGUUUUUGCCCCCACAAUAUAGGGGUGCUAUAUGGACAAUACAUAGUUAUGAAACAGUCAAUACGAGGGCACUGUCAUAUAUCUCUCCAACAGUGAAGUUGCAUCUCCUUAAGAAGGGGAUCCGAUGUUCAGUCUUUCUACGGAAUAUCAACAACAUACCAACAAUUUUAAGCUUGCAGUAUUGACAAUUUCAAUAAUAUCGAUGGCAUGUCUGCAUUUAAAGAAAAUGCAGUUAACUGCAACGUAAAAAAAUUCUAUGUGCGUGUGCGCAUGUGUAUUGGAGUCAUAGCUUCUGAACUCAAUAAAUGGGAGUGGUUUAACAGUAGUUUAGAUGCCAAUUCUGAUCACGAUGCUUUAAUAUUCAAAUAAGUCACCCAAGUAGCAAAUCUUUCAUCUGUUGCAUCUACUUGAUAUUUGGAUUUCUGGAGAAAGAUUGUCUAGCUUAGUGAGUUAGCAUCAACCCAUCUUCUUAAUAUUAGUUUAGAUCCCAAUUCUGAUAACAAUGCUUUAAUAUUCAAAAGAAGUGUCUAGUCUAGUGAGUUAGCAAGUAUCAACCCAUCUUCGGAAAUUUGAUCUCGUUUAUUUAUUCUCAGAUAUCAAUGUGGUUGUCUGACAAAAGGUACUUUGAGCUUACAAUUGCUGAUGUUGCCAUCCGACUUGAUUUGAUUGCAAAAGUUCACGGAAUAGAACAAGCUGAGGAUUACUUUAACAACAUUCCUAAAAAUUUGAAAGUUCUUGAGGUUUACUGUGCUCUCCUGAACAGCUAUGCUCGUGCAAAACUUGUGGAAAAGGCUGAGGACAUCAUGCAGAAGAUGAGGGAAUUGGGGUUUGCUAGGACAUCGUUGUCCUACAACAAUUUGCUCAAUUUGUAUCAUCAGACUGGAAACACUGAUAAAUUCAAUGUUCUAAUGAGUGACAUGAAAGAGAAGGGCAUUCUUCAUGACAAGUUCACAUAUUGUAUCCAGAUCUCUGCAUAUGCAGCUGCUUCCGAUCUUGAGGGAAUUGACAAGGUUAUGGCAGAGUGGGAGUCCGAUCCCAAGGUUCUUAUGGAUUGGGAUAGUUAUUCCAACGUGGCAAUUUCUUAUAAGAAAGCAGGAAAUGUGGAAAAGGCUUUGGCAAUGCUAGAGAGGUCUGAGAAACUGAUGUCAAGUUCUAAAAGAAAGAGGGGAGCAUAUGAGUACCUUAUGACACAAUAUGCAGCACUAGGGCAGAAAGAUAGGGUUAUGAGACUCUGGGAACUAUACAAGAAGCACAUGAAAAUAUACAAUAGGGGUUACAUAAGUAUAAUGACCUCUGUGUUGAAGAUUGGCGAUAUUGAAAGUGCCGAGAAGAUCUAUGACGAAUGGGAAUCCAGCAAUUUAUCUUUCGACAUUUGUAUCCCAAAUUUCUUGAUUGGUGCUUAUACCAGAAAGGGCCUAGUUGACAAGGCUCUAGUUGACAAGGCCGAAUCCAUUGUUAACAGGGUAAUACAAAAGGGAGAGAAACCGGAUGCAAGGUCUUGGCAUUAUUUGGCAAGGGGAUAUCUUGAUCAUGAUCAAAUUGAGAAGACAGUUGAGUUGACGAGGAAAGCACUUUCAGUUGAGGGGUCACGGUGGACACCAGAUGGGCAUGUUGUCGCCGCCUGUAUGGAAUAUAUGAAACAGAAAGCGGAUGUGGAAGGAGCUGAAGAAUUUAUAAGACUACUCGGGGAGAAGUGUAGUUUCCCCAUAAGUAUUCAGGAGAAAUUGUUAGAUUACAUUAAUAAUGAGGAUUCAGUCACUGUAGAAAUAGGUGACCUCGAAUGGGAUCGUCGGAAUGGAGUUCUGAAAGAAGCGGAUUUAGGUUCCAACUAACCGAAUCUGUCAGAUACGUAUUUCAAAAAACUCCUGAAAUUGUGGGUAGCGAAUGCAAGUCAACUUCAGGGAGUUGUAAAGAUUCUCUACCGAUUUAAGGUAUUACUUUUGUUCUGAACAUUAAGUUUGCUGCAAUUUGAAUGAACUUUUUCUUCAUUCCUAAAUUGUUUGUCCUUUUAAGACGGUUGCCAAUUUUUAUCAUCUGCAUUGGUUUUAGAAAGUAGGAACUAUCAGUGUGAGGAGCUUGUAGCUCAAAUGGGUAAGAGCGUUUACGAGGUCGAGGGUUUUUGUUUGAAUCCCUCUCUAAUGUAUCUUAUUUUACAAAAUAAAGUAGAGCUGCUUAGAAAAGAUUUGAUGAACUGAUAAGGAUUAAAAAGCAGACAACUCAAACCCAAUUCAUAUUGAAAAUUGACUGCUGAUGAAGAUUUUUUUUAUCUGACAAAGUGCUGUUAUACACUACAGAGAGGGUAUUAGUGUAGGGCCAACUGCUUCAUUGACUUCUACAACUAUCGAUCCCGAUCUAACAAAGUAAUUGAGUUCAAACAACAUAAUGUUCCUUAGCGGGCAAAAUCUUUUCCCCAACACUCAAAAACUAAAAUUUUAAUUUAUAUUAAAAUCUCGCUACAUUUUGUCCUUUGUUGGUAUAAUUUUAUUUUUUUCAACAAAAACUAAUUAAAUUUUUAGUUUGUGUGAAUGCACGUAGCAUGAGUAAAGUGAAAAUGUUAAAUGAGACGGUAAGCAGUUGUUUUUUUUUUUUUUUUUUUUUGGGGGGUGGGGGUGGGUGGGUGUUGAAUGAGAAGGCAAGCAGUCCCUUCAACGUAUCCUUUUUUUUUGGCCAAAACGUCGGUGUGAUAUUUUGGAUGUGGGAAUUUUGGGAUUUUAGGUUUGAAAGUGGGAAUUUGGGAUUGCUUCCCACCCCCAAAUAAAUAAGAUUGCAGUGGGCUGAGGGACCCACGUGAGAUCAGGAACAGCAGGGCAGCCCAUGUGGAGACAAUUCCAUGCGGGCUGGCACUAAUCAGCUGACUUGGGGGGGGUGUGGUAUUGACUGCAGGCGAGUGCACUAGCAACACGGUUUCUAUUGCCUAGAUUGACGUGUCAUUGACAUCCAAUGGUUGUUGCGCUUUUUGGGUUUUGAUCUAGUGUGGUGCGCCUAGUUACAUCAUUUUUAAAUCCAAUGACUCAAAUUUGAUUUAAUCUACUUUAAUGAUAAUAUAAAAUAUCCAAUGGCUCAAAUUUAAAUCCAACAGUCAAAAUAAUAAUAUUAAUUAAUUCAAAUUAGAUCCGACACCGAACCUCUAUAAAUACACAUCCAUUUGUUUACAAAUCCAUUAAAAAAAAAUUCAUUUUUCUCACCAAGAUUUUUUGUUUGUUUGGAAUUUGAAUUUUAUACACCAAAAUGUUCGUAAAAAUAAAGCAAGAUAGAUUAUGCAAAAUCUAAUUCCAAAAUUAUUGGCAAAUAUAAAAUCAACGAGACAUAAAAAAGUUCAAUAAAUUAUAAAAUUGGCAGUGGAAAUUCUAGGUCCCUUCCCGUUGGAGAAAAAAAUUGCCUAACCUCAUUCGUAUAGUGAAUAGAGAAAAAUAUAGGGUUAAAUUCUGGAAUUUUAGCCUAUCAAGUUGGAGAUAGCCUUAUAUACUCUUGAUUCUUAAGCAAUUUAAAAAAAAAAUCCUAUUUUUAUAAACUAAUUACUUAGGAUUGCAGAAAUGAAUAAUAAUUUUUCCCUUUGCUUCCUAUUCACGGCACCUUUCCUAGUCCGAUGGUGUAAAUACCAAAUAGCCUUGUUACAUCACAAAAAUUGACCUUUUAUUCACAAUUAAGCACAUAAAGUCAUCAAAGAAGAAAAGACACAUUCAUGGGCUUCUUAAACACCAAUUUUAAUCUAAUUAGAGAAAUGGUCCAUCAACUUAAUCUAAUUAGAAAAAUAGUCCUUCAACUUUAACUCAAUUAAAGCAAGAUCCCUCAACCAUAACCAUUUUGUCGAAAGUUCUAACGAGAUUGACGAAAAUGACUAGAUUUUUAGUCAACAUGCCAAAUCUCCAAUUAGGAGAGUUGAAGGGCUAUUAUUACAAUUUUUUCUAUUCAUUAUGUACUCAUGAUUUCUUAAAACAAUUUUUCAAAAAAAAAACAAAAAUCCUAUUUUUAUAAACUAAUUACUUAAAAUCGCAAAAAUGAAAUGGGCACAAAAUAGUUUUGGCCUUUGCUUUCUAAUCACGGCACCUUUCGCAAAGGUGACUUUUUAUUCACAACUCGGCAGAUAAAAAUCGUGAAAGAAAAAGAAAAAGAAGAAAAGACACAUUCAUGGGCUUCUGAAAAAUCAACAUAAAUUAUCAAGUGCCCACUCAAGUGGGCCCAUCCCACAUUCUGUACGUCACAACGCUUUUCUCGUUGGGAGUUCAGACGGAGGAGGAGCGUCUGUUUUGUAAACGGGCAUUUUAAGGCAUACUAGUGGGGCCCACUACCGCCGACAGUGGCUCUUAUCUUUUUGCAAAGCGGCCGUCCAACCACCCCGUUUUCUGCAUUUCAAGUCAACAGUUUCCGACCAAAACCAAAAUACAAGAAAAUUGUGCUCAGCGUGAAACUACCGUUAUACCCUUCUCCACCUUUCAGUUUUUCCUACUCCUUUGUGGGGGUGUAUUCUCUUCGUUUAAUACAAGUGAUGUAACUAGUUUAAUUUAUAACAAGGAGAAGAGGGGAAGAUUUGGACCUGAAACACAGUGAGUUAAAAAAGAAAGUCUUAAUUGUCAAGGUAAUCUACCAUUUAGUUUCAAAUUAAACGAAUAUUUUUUACAUAUCUAACCAUUUAUAUUAUAACACUUGGAGUCGAGCCGUGUUCUCAGUAUACUGAAAAAUUUAUCAUUUGGUAGGUGGCUCUUCUACCUCAUUAAAAUGGGAAAGGUACAAUAAAUAUUCGAUCCUACUAACCAUCUAUCCAACUAAUUGAAAAGAUAGUUGCUCACCCGUCACGCCCAUGCAAUACGUGAAAGAGAAAGUAGGUAUAUAGCACGUCUAGUGUCACAAACGUUCUCUUAAUCAACCGGCGAUCAAUGAAUAUAUGAUUUUCAGUAUUGAAUCUAAUAUCUAGAGUGGAGAAUAAAUAAAAAUAUUUUUAAUGCAUUAAUCUCAACUAUUGAUAUCAAAUCCAAUAGCCGAUGAUCAUGAAUCUUGUUGUUCUUCCCAUCCAAAUAAAUUACAAGAAUGGAGGGUAUUUCUGUCAGAAAAGCAAAAUAUGUGAUCUAAAUAAACAAGUGAGUGCCAUAUGUAGACUUCUCAUGUCACAAGCUUCAUAAUUCAAUUAAAAAAAGGCCAAUAACUUAGCACACAAAAACAAAAGAAAAUAAUUCAUAAAAAGAAAUAAAAAAUAAAAAAGGAAGGAAAAUAGGACCCAAACCGUACCUGUGAGUGCAUGUCAGCGUCAGACUAUUGUCUCAGCCUUAUUCGAAAUAUUAAUCAUCUGCCAAACAAGCAGAAAACCAAAACUAAGAACUCCCAAAGAAUCUCUGCUUCUUUGGCUUCCAAGAAUCCCAUUCCUCUCCUUUCCUUUCCUUUCCAAUCCGAUGCAAUCUUUCCAUCCAAAAACAAAGCAUGGGACAAGAGGGAAUUGCUUUCCUCUAUGAGCUUUGAAUUCCCCACCUCAAGGGGAGGACAUAGUCCAACUUGGAUAUUGUCUUUGCUUCUGGUUUUCCUUUCAAUAUGGUCCAAAGAAAGGUGCCAAACAAGCUUGGAAUCCAAGCUGAUCAUGAUAAAUUCGAGAAGCGGUUAUCGAACCUGAAGACUUCUUCUCAGUUCCAAGAUGGGAAACACAGAGGAGCUGAUUUGAAGAAGAUGAUGAAGAAAUCUAGAUCAAUCAAGCUUUCAGAUGUUGAGAGCUUGAGAUCAUCACCUUUGGGGAAGAACUCAUCUCAGCCAGGAAAGCCGCCACCGCCGGCUCUCAAUGUUCCAAACACUGCGGCUUCCCCUCAGAAGCAGCCCCUGGCCAAAACAACUUAUGGCUCGCCAAACUACAUGAAGCCCACCAGCUGUUCUCAUGCAAGGAAGGAGCAGUCACAGGUUAGUCUUCGAAGUUCUCCGCCAAUAUUUUCAGAUAGUAAGAACCAGAACCAAAAAAAUUCGGGCAGUUCAAAGCUUAGCUCUGCUUCUAGUAAACCUGAAAGAAGUUUAGCAAGGACAUCUAGUUUGAAGCUUGCGAGAACUUUAAUAAGGUCCCCUAGUUUUAAGCCGGCAAGAGCUCCGGCGAGAAAAUCUUCCAGGGUUGCUCUUUGUGCAGAUGUUAAUGUUCAGAGAGCAACUUGUUCUUCAACACUGAAGGAUACAAAGUUUCCGGAUUAUCUGAUGAUUAGUCCUGGGGGAACUGAAGCUGAGGGAACUUCAGUCAUGGAGGUUUGCCCGUAUACGUACUGUUCCCUUAAUGGACAUCGUCAUUCACCUGUGCCACCAUUGAAGAGUUUCUUGUCUGCGAGAAGACGUUCAUUGAAGACCCAGAAGAUGAUGAAAUUGCAAGCUCAAAGUCCACGUGGAGCAAAGCGAUGUAAUGAUGGAGUAAAAGAAAUUGAUUUCCAGCAGAUGUUUGAUGAGAAUGACAAAACAGCUGAGAAAGAAGCUGAUUUGGAUUUCUUUGUUGAAAUCUAUGCUACAAACAAGGAAGAUGACACCGAGGCAAUUGGAAGGAAAGCCGGAGCUGAUUUUGUAGGAGAACAAGAUGGUUACGAGGGUCCUGUGUUUCCAAAUUCUGCAAGUGAUGAAACAGAAACAGUAGAUUAUGCCAACAACCUAGUUGUGGAGAACCUGUCGGAUAGAUCACAGCAUUCUGAGAGUGAAUCUGAGGCAGAAAGCUUUCGCGAAUUUCCUGAAGAUCGAAAAGAAGAAGCAAAUGAAGACUACGGAUCACAGUCCGAUCAAGAGGAAAAUUCCACUGGAAGCUGCUCGAACGAGAGCAACUCUGAAGACCUUUCAAGCACUGAAAUGGAGGAUGCAACGGGAGCCCUGAUAAAGGGAAUUCAGAAACAGAUCAAAACGUUCCAAGUGGUGACUUUGGCUUAGAACCCAAACUCCCUACUGUGGUGUCUGAAAAUCAAAUGGAAGCAAUAGAGCAAAUUGGUGAUGUGAAACCAUCACCGGAGAUUCAGCUUUCUGAUUUGGUGCACGAUGCUUCUGAAGCUGAUGAAGAUGCUGUCAAGGUUGACGAUUAUGAAAAUUACAUGAAGACUGAACCUCUCCAGCUUAAUGACAUUGCUGAAGAUGGUAACCUGUCCAAUGGGAAGUACAAGAAGCCUAUAACUUCAAGUUCCAAUGAAUCUGAGGAUCAGAGUGAUUUAAGGCUGAAAAAAUCAGGUAUCUCCAAUAGCAACACAGGACAACCUGACAAUGUGGAAGUGAAAAACAAUUCAGAGCCAGAAGCCACAAAAAAAUUCAACACGGCCAAUAAUAGCAUUAGCCCUGGGAUGAAGAGAAAAAUUUCCGAGGCAGCAAGCAACUUCGACCAAGAGCUUCCCAACACCUACAACUACUGGAAAAGAAUCAAAUGCAAGAGACUUAGCAUGGAUGAGGAGGAGCAAAGGAAGUUCAAUCCAAGAGAACCAAAUUACCUACCUUUGGUUCCUGACCCCGAAGCAGAAAAGGUUGACCUCAGGCAUCAGAUUAUUGAUGAAAAGAAAAAUGCAGAUGAAUGGAUGCUUGACUUUGCACUCCAGCAGGCUGUCACGAAACUUGCUCCAGCAAGGAAGAAGAAGGUUGCACUGCUUGUUGCAGCUUUUGAAACGGUCAUGCCAGCUCCCAAAGUGGAAAAACAUCUCAGGCAUACCUCCGCAGCCUUCAGUCAUGCAAGACCUAUGCAAGCUUGUAGUUGAUGAUAGUUAUUGAGGUGAAUAUAUGAUCGCUAUCUCCAAACCUUCAGAUAUUAAUUCUAAUAGCUGUUCGUGAGCUCAUAUUGUUAGUAUCAAAUAACAAAGGGAACCCAUUCACAUAUUGUUGUGCAGGUGAAAAGUCUGCAAUAUUGAUAUUAAGUUACUGAAGCAAAAGCACAAGAACAUAGAAGAGCUACAUUUCCAGCAGAACACGACUCACCGUUUCUUGGAUCCUGUCAGAACUUCUGAAGAGGAAGGAGGCAGCUUCAUGCAGUGACGAUUCUUGAGUAGUUUCUCCUAGCUCAGUGGAUGUAGUGCUAGUGUACUUUGAUUAAUAAUAAUAUGUAAUGGCAGAUUAAUGUUAUAUGUUGUGAGUUGCUACCAUCUUUCCUUUGCUGUUGUACGAGGCACUGGUCUCCAAAACAAUAUAUAUGGUUGUUUGCUUAAUAUGCAUGUCAACUGCCAACUGACUGCCAUACUCACAUUCAAAACGUCAUUCUAGCAACACUAAAGGUACAACUAAUUUAAAGCAGCUCGUGCAUGCAUACGGGGCUUCUAGCUCAAGCGGUUAGGAGCAUUUAGCUCCACACUCGAGUUCCUGUAUUCAAUUCCUACUCUCCCAAUAUCACUUGUAUCAGGGAAAACAAAAGUUGCUCAUGCAUGCUACAAUAACUUACAGUUAUUCACAUGAUACUUAUAUCUACAACGUCUUACCAUCGCAUUGUAACAAACGAAAACAAUUAUAAUUAAGAUUUCCAAGAAUAUCAUAUAUAAACAUAAUGAACCCAACUGGAAACACUUCUCAAAAUGUAUAAUUCCUAUAACAUGGGACUCUAGCAAAUAAUUCUCAGAACUCGAUUCACAAAUGUCAAAUAAUUACUCACAAAAUUACAACAACAAUCUCGUCUAUGGUAGAUGUACGUUGACUGCAGGACACUUGACAAGAAGUGACCGGAGUUCUGCAAGGUGAUUGCCUAGGCCACUAACAUGUGAUAUUUUCUCUGGCGAACCAACUUCAAGAGAACUAGUAGUAUCAGAGAUUUCACUCUGUUCUCUAUCUUUUUUCGCAAUCAUAUCAUCGUACAAAUACCCGAGGGCAUCUUUCGUUGAAAUAGAAUGCACAGAUUCAAACAAUCUUUGAAAUCCAUUUCUUUGUUCUUCUGUUUCAAUCAACUUCUCCCUUAAACCAUCUGGAAGGCAAGCCAGCGCACUAUGGAUGGAAGAUACCCCAGAAUGGAUAGAGAAGAAAACAAAACUAAAGUAAGAUAUAUAGAAAUUCCAAACAGUACAAAGAUUUAUGCAAGCGAGAUAUUACUACAAAAUAAUAUUUGCUUCUUUAUAUUACCUAGUAACACCUCUGACAAGACCCCAGUUGUACCCAACAAGGACCGAUUUCUUAAAGCCAAUAUUAAAUCCCUCUUGUGAAGAAGCUUCUUUUCCCGCUAUUACACCAUCACGGUAACCAGUCUACAUAUCAACAAAUUAAGCACAUAUUAGAGAACUACCUGAAUUAUGCCCGUAAAACAACUAACUAAACCCACGUAAUGACGAAAGUAUGUCUGAACUGUCAAACAACCGUAUGGUAUUGGUUAUGUCUCCUCUGCCAUUCCCUGCCCAAAGCAGAUUGUUCAUGCAAUUCAUCGUCAGAAGCACACCAAGAUGCAUCUUCAUCACAUGGCUCAACUCUAUCAUGGUCUGCAAGAAAACAUUAAAAAGAUUACUUACUACAGAGAACAGCAAAACCACAGCAGUUAUACACUAACGCAUUUACUUAUCUACGGCUGACUAUAAGAUGAAAUUAACAAAUAUCAUAUGUGGAUCACCGUUAUACGGAAAAAAUGGUGCUUUAAACAAUUAAAAUACCGUGUAGAUCACUUUCUAUACUGUUCGCACUGGGUGUAGGAUCCAAUUGUAUUUUUUCUAGGCUUAAACUUUCUGAGUAGAGCUCAUGAGCAAAACUUCCCUCCAUCUGUUACAGCAUAAAGCAAACACCAAAAUCAAAAUUACUAUAAGAGCAAAGACUGAUGUAACAUCGAGCUUCUAAACACUAACUUUAACAGGAAAAUGUACAAGAAAAUUAGAAGAGGAAUGUGUUUUAAUGAUACAAUCCUAGAACAUAAAAUCCAGAAGACGUAAAGACCAUGACCACCGGAAAAAACCAAUGCAAACUACAUAGCCUCAAGCACAAAGCUAAUAAGAGCAUAGUAUAUUCACCAAAAGCUCAAGAACACUACAAGUUCAACCUGAUACAUAUUAUGUCCGGUCCCGAAACCUAGGACAUGACUUGGUUGUGGAUUAUGUUACAGGAAAAUGGCAUCUAUUAAUACUUUUAGUAGUGUCCCGUCGUUUUAGUUUUCCUUUGAUUCCUAAAUUUACAGAACCUAAAACAAUUCAAGUAACCAUGUUCAUAUCCUCGGCUACAACCGAACCUCCCCUUCCCUCCAAAUGCAUUUCCCCAUCACAGAUACUAUAAUCAUAUCACAUAGAACAUACUGGUCCUCAAUCCCCAUUACUAAAGCCGUACGAUUAAUAUCCAUCACUCCAAAGGGACAAAUGCCAUACACACAACCACAAAGGAAAAAAUACCACUCCGUUGGAGCGACACACGGUGCACUCUCGUUGCCAUACUUGAAUACAACUUCAUCAAAUUCCAUUUGAUCAAUCCGCAAUCGCAUGCCAAGCAGAAAAAGAAACAUAAAAUCCAACAUUCCAUUCAAAUGAUUCCAUUGAGAUAAAACUUUCAAUUUCCAAAAGGUUGUAGUAAUUGAACUCAAAUCAUAUAAAACACUUGAGAAAUUCAACUCUAAACAUCUCAAUUAACGAUUAAAAUUAAGAUUAAUCGUAAAACAAUUCAAACAGUUCUAAACAAUCGUCAAGAUUAUAUCAAAAUAAAUCACACCACCAUAAAGUUACACAAAGAGAGAGAGGGGAGAUGGGAGAAAGAGAGUGAAACUGACCUGGAGAAAAAUAAAAAAAUGGAGAGGAGGAGAAGCUGCAGAGGUUACAACACUUUGUUAACGCCAACAGGUUUUGGACCAUGCGCCUUCGGCUCGUAGAAGAAGAUGACUUGAACGCACCGUUUCAGCCUUUAAGAGUGUGCUCCAAUAAGAUAAAAAGAAAAAAUCCAGAUGUCAAAUAGCCACUGGCUGGAACACCAACUUACGUGGAGUUCCCGGAACCCCGAAAUAUUUCUCCACCCUCUGAGGAGCCGGAGAAGAUUUGUGUAAUGGUUGUUGGGCCCUUUAUGGGCUUAUGACGUGCUAUUUAUUUUUCGCCCGGCCUCUUGGUGCAUCUCCUGUCGCUUCUAAUACAAGAUUUUUUUUCGAUAAACGAUAAUGUUAGAGGAUUAAAUUGUAAAUGUAACGGUAGGAAAAUUGAUGUUGGCACUAAAAUGCAAAGAAGAAAAGGGAAAAAUUGCAUUUUACAACCCAAGUUGGUCCAUCAACACAAAGAUCCCCCCAUGGUUUGGCGAUCUUAGAUUUGACACAUUUUAUUAUGCUCACUUUGUAGAAGGGAAAUUUUAUUUAGACCCAUUUAUCCUAUUUCUAUACCUAAUUUAUUAUUUAUUAUUUUGAAAUUCCAAAUGUGCCAAAUAAUUCUCUUUCUACCUCCAACAAAAAGAAAAAGAUAAUAAUAAUAAUUUAGCAAUAGGUAACUCCAGCCACCUUAUUUCUUCAAACCUCAACCACCUAGUUUCUAACCUCCCCAACGCCACCUCCCUUACCACCCACAAAAAUUUGGAAAUUAGAACAUUAUUCCUAACAACCCACGAUUAAAAAACCCAAAAGAAACAUGUCAAUAUUUUUUUUCUUUUGUUUUUUGGAAAAAUUAAUGGUAUUAUUAGCAUAUGGUCCAACACAAUUAGAUUUGACACGUCAACAAUUUCAGCAUAAUUUGGACAUGUUAGAAGGACUGCAUGGAAGAGAGAGAUAUUGUGUGGCCGGCAAAAGGUCGGCAAAGGGACAUUGAUGGCUAAGAUCUUUGGGGGUUUCAUUGUGGGUGAUAAGAAGAUGGCGGUGGAGGGGGGGGAUUGGGGAGGGGUAGAAAUUGGGGGUGGUUAGAGUUUGGAGUAAUGGCAUGGCCCGGGAUAUCUACUGUUGAAAUUUUAUAUUUUAUAUUUUUGUUCUUUUUCAUUAUGGGUGUAGAUAGAAAAUUGUUGGGCAGAUUCAAAAUUUCAAGAUUAAAAACUAUAAGUUGGGUGUAAAAAGAUGAUAAAUGAAUUUGAAUAAAAUUUCCCUUUGCAGAAUUGUGUUACUUUAACAUUCUGACCACGCUUUCUCUUCUUUGCCUAAACUUGGAAAGCCCCUAUCUACCAUGCUUUCUCAAUCAAGCGUUGGAUGCCAGAACAAGAAAGUCAAUCAUUAGGAGCAAUUGCAUUCCAUACUUACCAACCACAAAAAGUCGAAUGUUUUGAGGAAUUAUAUUGCAAACCAAUCGCAAAGUAGACCCGUAACAGGCUGGUAAAACCAGGAGAGAAUCUCUCUUUGCACCCAAUGCAUAAUCGUCCACCAUAAAUUGAAAUGAAGAAACAUAGGUAUGAUAACAAUAAAGAUUGCAUUACUUUGUGGGCUUUCUUUUCUUUUUUGUUUCCAAAAAUGAAGAUGAGUAUUUACCAAGUUUUAUCGAGGAAAAUCACCCGACUGUUGCAUCUUCCAACAUAUCGAUGUGGUACAAUGAGGUUAGUUGGGAUUCGCCAUGUUCUUCAUUGGACUCAAGAUCACAAGCAUCUUCAACAUAUCCAGAUCGCCUCAUCUGUUCAAGGAGCAACUUCAAAACAUAAUGUAUUUCUUUCCUUUGAGGAUGCCGUUUGUCUUUCACUAGGAAAACAUGCACAUGGCCCUGUAUUUCAAUCCACCUACAACUUGGUUGCUUGAUAACUCCUCGUUGCCUCGUCAGCUUCCUUACUCGUACAACAUCAGCCCAUAUCCCGAGCUCAGCAUACAUAUUUGAGAGAAGAACAUAUGGUCUAGAGUUCUUAGGUUCAAUAUCUAAGAGUUUCUCCGCCACAUACUCCCCUAAGGUAAUGUUACGAUGAACUUUACAAGCAGCAAGCAAAGACCCCCAUAUAACAGCAUUAGGUUCAAUUGGCAUGUCCUCUAUCAAAUUUUUGGCAUCAUUAAGGCAACCAGCUUGACCGAGCAGAUCAACCAUACAUGUAUAAUGGUCAGUCAAUGGUACCAAACCAUGUUCCUCACUCAUAAAGUAAAAAUACUUUUUUCCUUCAUUGAUAUGUCCCUUUCCUCGAUCUGAUGCUAACCAUUUUUCUAAAUAUUUCAAGAGCUUCAGUCCCGUAACCAUUUUGUGCAUACCCCAUAAUCAUGGCAUUCCAAGAGACAUAAUCCCCUUCCAACAUGUUUAUAAAAACUCGAUAGCCAUCUUCAACAGAUCCGCAUUUCAUAUAUAUGUCUAUUAGAGAAUUUUCGACAAAAAUAUCAGGCUCUUCACCGGCCUUGAAUGAAAUCCGUGCUUCAAUACGUGUACAUGAACCAGCCUGCCAAGCUGCAUAUCAACAAGAUAUGCACAAGCAUUGAGUAGAUUCCCAAAUAUAUAGUGGGUUGGCAAAACAGACUCAUUUUUCAUGAGGAGAAAAAGUCCAAAGGCUUCUUCAUAUUCCCCAUUCGGUGUGUAACCUGUAAUAAGUGUGUUCCAGGAGACUAUAUUUCUUUCCAUUAUCCUUGAAAACAUCAAUCUUGCAGCUUUUACCCUUGCUGAUUUUGCAUAUCCACUUACCAUGGAAGUUUCUGAGACAACAUUUCUAACAUGCAUCCCAUCAAAAAUCCAUCUGGCUUCUUUUACUCUUUUGCAUACAUAUCAACUAAUGCAUUGCCUAAAACAAGAUCAUCCCUGUAUUUAGCACAUUUUACAACACAAGCAUGAAUUUGCUGCCCUUCCUUUAUUGCUGACAAGUUUGCGCAUGCAUUCACCACACUGACUAAAGUUAGUUUAUCCGGUUUGAACCCACACUCCAUCAUCAGCACAAAAACUUCUAGGGCUUCACUUGCUAGGCCAUUUUGCUGAUAACAAGUAAUUAAAUUGUUCCAAGAAACAGUAUUCUGGUCAUUCAUCCCAUAAAAAACUCAGUUUGCACAAGAAACACUCCUACAUUUAGAGUGCUGUGAUAUUUGGAAGAUUUGUAUAUUGAUUGUGUAUAAGAAAUUACAAGGGCAUGAAAUAUAUACAAGAAAAGAGGUGUUGUGAGUCACACGGAAGACAUCACACACCAUACUUAGACCCAUGCUUUGUACAAUCUAAGUCUUAGCUACUUUACAUCAUGACCCUAAAUGUUAUAACACAUGCUAACCCAUACUUAGAUAUUAGGUAUUCUAACACUCCCCAUUAAGCGAAGGCUAGCUGGACCAAAAGAGUGUUAAACUGAACACGAGACAAUCCUUUGGUGAAUAUAUUUUCUAGUUGAUCUUUGCUUUGAACAAACAUAGGUUGAAUGACAUUGGAUUGGGUUUUUUCUCGAACAAAAUGAUAGUCCAUUUCAAUGUGUGUGGUUCUUUCAUGGAAAACAGGAUUUGAUGCAAUGUAAAUAACAGCUUGAUUAUCACAGAAAAAAGGCAUAAGUUGUGUUGUCUUGAACCCUAAGCUAUUGAGCAAACCUUGCAGCCAAAUCAACUUAUAGGUAGUAAAGGCCAUGGCAUGAUAUUCAGCUUCUGCACUUGAUCGAGCUAUCACAUUUUGUUUUUUUGUUUUUCCAUGCACCAAAUUUCCCCUAACAAUGUGAGCAUUUCCAACCUUUUUCAUCAUAAUCCCAGUCCCAAUGGUACCCUUCAAGUAACGCAAGAUCAUUCGAACAGCUUGUAAAUGAACUGAUCGAGAAGAAUGCAUGAAUUGACUAACUAGGCUCACAACAUGCAUAAUAUCAGGAUGAGUAAUGGUAAGGUGAAUAAGUUUCCCUACCAAUCUCUGGUAUAAGCCAACAUCUGUCAACAAAUCUACAUCCAAUCCCAGUUUCUUUUUGCAAGCAAUUGGAGUUGCCAUUGGUUUUGCUUCAAGCAUUUUUUAUUCUUGGAGUAAAUCUAAUAUGUACUUGCGUUGAUUCAAGAGCAAGCCUUUACUAGAUGAAGCAAUUUCAAUUCCUAUAAAGUACUUCAGAGUUCCUAGAUCCUUGAUUGCAAACUUUCCGUGGAGAAUACCCUUAAGCCUCUGAAUUUCUGUCAAAUUGUCACAAGUCACAAUGAGAUCAUCAACAUAGAUGAGAGCGACAAGUUUACCUGCUGAACUAUCUUUCACAAACAAUGAGGAAUCUACAUUGCUCUUUUUAAACCUAAUGCCCUCUAACACAGAACUUAGCUUGGCAUACCAAGCUUGAGAUGAUUGCUUAAGACCAUAAAUAACCUUGUGUAAUUUGCAAAACCAUGCCAUUUCCUUCUUGUGGAUGUCCCGGAGGCAAAUGCAUGUAGACAUCUUCUUUAAGUUCUCCAUGCAGGAAGGCAUUCUUAACAUCCAUUUGAAAUAAAGGCCAAUCAUGGUUGACAUCAACUGAGAGAAGCACUCUCACUGAGUUUAUCUUUGCCACAUGAGUAAAGGUUUCCUUGUAAUUUACACCAUAGGUUUGAGUAAAACCUCUAGCCACCAAUCUAGCUUUGUGUCUCUUCACUGAACCAUCACUCUUGAAUUUGGUCUUGUACACCCAUCUACACCCAACAGCUUUCAUCCCCUUAGGUAGCUUAGUGAUGCUCUAAGUUUUGCUUUCAUUUAAAGCCUUAAGCUCCUCAUCCAUCGCUGUUUGCCAGAUCAAUUGGGAAUUAACUUCUUGGAAUAAGCUUAGUUCAGAUGAAGCUGAGAUUUUGCUUAGGAAAGUAGCAUGAGAGGGAGAUACCUUUGAGUAUUCAAGAUACUUUUCUAUAGGAUAUCUUGAAGUGUAGCUUACAUAAUCUUUAAACCAGGUUGGCUUACCUCGAUUUCUACUAGGGUUUCUCCUAGGAAUGUUCACUUCAGGAGUAGUAGCAAGAUUCUCUUUGGACAAAAUGUGAUUCUGGUCAGUGCCUUCAGCUGAUUCAUUAUCAACGAGUAUAUCAAAUGGUUGAUCACACUCAACUAGAGCAAUUGAGAUUUCUUUGUUGCUUGGUAGGUUUGAAACCGAAUGGUGAUGAGGUUGCAAGUUGGUUUCUAUAAUUGGCAUGGGAAUUUGGCCAAGAAAAUCCUCCCCUAAAAGAUCUUCAUCCCUGGUACUUGCAAAGAAAGGAACUUUCUCAUCAAAACUCACAUCUCUAGACACAAUGAGUUUAUUGCGUUUUGUAUCAUAACACUUGUAUCCCUUUUGAACAGAUGAGUAUCCUAGGAAUACACACUUUGCAGCUAUAGGAUCCAAUUUGUCUUGAUGCAAGCUUUGAAUAUGAACAAAACAAACACAUCCAAACACUCGAAGAUGAGACAAGUUGAUUUUCCUGCCCUUAAGUGUUUCAAGAGGUGACUUGAAUUUGAGAACUUUGCUUGGAAUUCUAUUAAUCACAUAUAUAGCAGAAGAAUCCCAUGUGACCAAAAUUUCUUGGGUACACUCAUUUGAAGCAUAAGUGAUCGAGUUUUUUUUCUUCUAGAAGAUCACAGUUCUUCCUUUCUGCCACUCCGUUUUGUUGUGGAGAACCAACACAACUUGUUUGAUGAAUUAUUCCAUGGCAAGUUAGAUAUUGAGUAAAGGCAUUGGACAUAUACUCAGUACCAUUGUCUAACCUUAGAACUUUAAGUUGAGUUGAGAAUUGAUUUGUAACAAGACUAUGAAAUUCUUAGAACACAAAAAUAACUUCAUUUUUGGAUUUCAACAAAUACAACCAAGUACAUCUUGAGAAAUCAUCAACAAAAGUGACAAAAUAUUUAAAACCAUCAAAGGAAUCCAAGGCUGCAGGGCCCCAAACAUCAGAGUGCACAAUCUCAAAAGGUUUACAUGACUUGGUUAAUGAGGAAUCAAAUGGCAACCUCGCUUGUUUUGAAAAAUGGCAAACUUCACAAUCUUGAGUCAUCACAUUCCCUGAAGUUCCGAAGAGAUGUGAUUGCACAAGAUUAUAAGGAUGCCUUAAUCGUUUAUGCCAUAUAGAUGAUUCUGCAAAAAUCCAACUUGAAGACCUCUAGCUUCAACAGGUUGCAAGGAAAGCAUAUAUAGGCCAUCUUUAUAAAUGCCCUCACCAAUCUUCUUCUUUGUUAUACGAUCCUAGAAAACCACAUUGAAUGGCGAGAAUAUAACAUCACAGUUUAAAGAAUUGGUCAACUUUCCAACUGACAGAAGUUGGAAUGGAAAAAAGGGCACAUAUAGAGUAGUCGAUUCAACAUUUGUAUCAAAUAUCUUAACUUUUCCUUUACCCAAGACUGAUACACCAAUUCUAUUAGCAAUAGAAACAAACAGUGGAAUAAUUGCAUCUUUAAACUCAUGCAUAUCUCUUUUUAUAUUUGUCAUGUGGUCAAUUGCUCCAGAGUUUAUUAUCCAAUUUGCAAGAUUUUUGGAUGUAAGUGCAGUACUAAAUGAAUUUAGAAUACCUGACCUAUCAGUGGAAGAUGAUGCCUUUGUCUGAAGAAAUUUUGUGAACUGUCCAAAUAAAACAGCAGUGCUGACUUCACUAUUUCCUUUAUGAGGAUUGUUUCCAUCAUUCUCAUGAACGAAGGAAGUCAACUCACUUAAGAUAGCCGAGGGAUUAGAUAUGAAGGUCUCAGUAGUUGAGGUAGUCUGUGAGCAAGAGACCUGACUUGCACUACGACCAGACUUGGUUUGCUUGACAAAGUUAGGUUUAAGAUGUGGAUACAAAACCAACAAGUGUCUCUGAGAUGAUUCUUCUGCCCACAAUGGUUGCAUUGCAUCUUUCAUUUCUUUCCUUUAAAGUUUUUCCCUUCGAACCUUCUGUCACUUGCAGCGAAGGCUCUGGACUCAGGGUUACUAACUUUAGUACUCAUAACUUUUGUUCUUACUUCUUCUCGCUGGAUAAUAGUGCAUACAAUAUUGAGAGAUGGCAAUUCAACACUCAUCAAUAUGUGGCUUCGCAUGUCUUCAUAAGCAGAGCAAGACUGGACAGGAGCUGAAAGAUCUUGUCUUAUUCAGCUCGCUUAAGGAGGACUGCUGGAUCUGUGGUGUGAGGAUGAUAAAGAUUCAACUCAUUCCAUAGAGACUUCAGUCUUCUUAAGUGCUCAAUAAAAUACUUUCCAUCUUGAUUCAGAAGAGAAAGACUCUUUUGCAGCUGAAUUAUCUUGGCUGCAUAGUUUUGAUUUCCAUACAUCUCCUUGACAGCCUUCCAUAAAUCAAAGGCUGAUUCUGAGAAAUUGAAGAUUUAUGAUACCUUUGAGCCCAUCGAGUUGAGCAACCAGGUCAUGACGAGCUGAUCUUUGCACAACCACUCUUCAUACUUAGGAUCACCAACCUCGGGAGCUACGACAGUUCUAUUGAUGAAACCAAGCUUAGAUCUUCCUCUAAGAGCUAAAGUAACAGCUCUUGACCAAGGAAGAUAAUUAAACUCAGUUAGAAGUAUAGAGCAAAGGCGUUGAUUGGGAUUUCCAUCAGCUUCACUUGAGGAGGCUGAUGAAGGAACAAGGAUGUUCUCGGAUCAAGCAUCAAGAAUAUUUUCUUCUUCCAUUUCAAAGGAUUUCAAAGAACAGGUUCUUUAGGAAGCUUGCUCUAAUACCAUGUGAUAUUUGGAAGAUUUGUAUAUUGAUUGUGUAUAAGAAAUUACAAGGGCAUGAAAUAUAUACAUGAGAAAAGUUGAUAUGAGUCACAUGAAAGACAUCACACACCAUACUUAGACCCAUGUUUUGUACAGUCGAAGUCCUAGCUUCUUUACGUCAUGACCCUAACUGCUAUAACACAUGCUAACCCAUACUUAGAUAUUAGGUAUUCUAACAAGUACAUACCGAUAAGUGCAGACCCCAUGUAUACAUCUGAUGAGUACGAGGAUUUUGCAAUUAAAGCAUGAAUUUGUACACCAUUUUCAACUCUCUUAAACCUACACAAGCACUAAGAGCAUUACCAAAAGAGUAUUCAUUUGGCACAAAAUCCUCCCUAUGCAAUCUAGCAAACUAGUCCAAAGCCUUUUCAAAGCGGUGAUGCUGGGCAAACCCUGAUACCACCGAAGUCCAUGAGCACUGGUCAGGCACAUGCAUUAACCUGAAAAUCUGCACAGCCACAUCAAUUAGACCCAACUUUGUUAAUACGCUUCUAAUAGAGUUCCAGGUGAAAAUGUUCCUUUCAGGCAUUGUAUCAAACAGUUUGCGUGCAUCAUCCAAGCGGCCACAUUUUCCAUAAGCAUCAAUGAACCUAUUAUGGAUAAAAAUCUUUGAGGAAAAUUGGAUCUUGAUAAUACAUGCAUGGAUGCGACGUGCAUCACGUGCAAACUUGGUUCGAUCGGAUGCACGAAUCCAAAAGCUUCACAAAGGGUGUGGAGUCGAGGAAAUAGAGAUCACCCACAAGAUGUAUGAACAAUCCAUGUCUAGUUCCGAUUUCGGGGUUUUUGAACUUUAAUCAUCGUAAAUGAUUGAAAUUUUAUUAAAAUAUGAUGUUAGAUUAUUAAUUGUUUCUUGUUAUAAAUUGGCGGAAGAGGGAGAAAACAUUGCCGGAUGUGAAGUGGAACAAAAUCAGAGUAUCAUAAUUUUUUGUUAUUUUUACUUGUUUUGGGUAUGAGAGAUGGAUACAAAAGAAAACGAGUGAAAAAAAUUUAUAUGGUUUUUUUCUACAGUUGUUUGCGCUUUUUGUUGUUCACAAGAAAGGACUGAAGCUAAGUUUUUUUCAAUUUAUUUUUCAGAGUCUAAACAUGGCUCCUUUAUACAGGCAAAUAUCACCGUCUCAUAGAUAUUGUAGCAAAAUUGUAAGUACUAUUCCACCCUUAUGCAAUGAACCAUUUUACCCACAUGGGUAUCCAUACUUUACUUACAACACUCUUCCUUGGAUGCCUAUGCACCAUCGAUCAGUUGCCUCAUAAAAACCUUGCUAGGAAAAAACCAAUAGAAAAACUCUUGUUGAAAAAAAAAAAGUACAACUUUGUUUAGAUUAUUGGAUUAUUAAUACAAUGUUGGGUGCACUUUUGUUGCCUCGUUAAAAUCUUGCUAGGAAAAAUUAUUUAGGGGGUCAUAUGUAAAAGUUGACAAACAUUUCUUAAACGUAUAAUAACCUUAAAAAUCAAACUGUAGUUUCAUUAUUCAUAACUUAUAGAACAAAAACAAUAAAAGUUACAAUUGUCCACUAUAUAGUCUAAAAUAAUCCCAAAAAUUCUAGAGGCUACACAUGGACUUUUGCUUAAGAAAGACAAGAUUGCCCUCAUUAAAUGGGCAUAUUCCUUAGAUACUCUCACGAGCAGCUCACACCCAUGAAGUUCACUGCAACUGAAUACGACUGCCCAAAACUCACCUGCCUUUGGCAAGAAAAAGUCAAAGCAUUAAAGAUGAUGGUUAAUUACCCAAAUCCUUUAUGUAAUACAUUCUCGAUUGACUCCAUUCAAGUAAGCAAUCCCUAUUUAAAUCAAUUAGGGAUGAUUACUCCAUUAUCUCAAGAUAUUUAUUUCCUAUUUAAUAUCUUGAGAAUAUUUCUCCAUAAACUUUUACCAAUAGGAUGCUUCCAUGUGUAGGGUAAAAACCCUAACACCAUGGCGGGCCACUCCCCUGUAUACCUCAUAUUCUAUCAAAUUUCGGUAAGCUUUUGUUACCUCUAAAAGUCCUAAACACUUUACUCUUCUCAGAAAAAUUAACUUAGGCAUUAGAGAUCCAUUGGCCUCCCAUCUACCUCGUGGGUGCAUGAGGCUUAGGUCUUUGAUCAAAGGUAUUGAUUAUUUUGCAGGUGCAUUUUCGCCAUUUUCGUCAAAAGUUAGAGACAGCGAAAAUUUGCAUUGACAAAUUGGUUCUUUCAUUGAGAGCUGAUUCAAAUAGUCGAAUAAGCCUCUUGCAUUUAGUUUCUAGAAUUUUCUGUUAUGUUGAAUUUCUCACACGUCAUAUCAAUUAAUUUUUCCUAGAAAAGUUUCUUGAUCAAUCCCAGAGAAAGGAUACAAUGGUAGGAAAUUCUGAAACCGCGACGAACGGAACCCUAUACGUAUAAGGAUUUGGACCAGAGAGUAGAGACGAUGAGAUAGCCCCGAGACGGCGAUCCUGAAGGCUCAAUGCAACAGCAGGAAGAGCAACGCCAGCACCGUCACCGUGACCCAGCAGCCACUGCAAGGCCACCAGGCCACGACCCUGAUGCAUGCAUCAUUGCCUUUGCAACAGCCCAAUCCUCAAAACCCUGGGCAGGAGGCCCAGAGCUUGGCAGCUACCACAGCAAGCCGAAUGCAGGAGGCUUAGCCCAUUACAACAGCAAGCCCAGUCUCACGGUAGCCCAACAAAGCUGGCUUAGUUAGCAGGAGCAACCUACCAGGAGGUAGCCCAACCCCACUGACACGCCCUAACCCCGAUAUCCCCACAUAACAGGGUAGGCACAUGCUGGCCAACACUUGAGGGUGACGAAGCCAUUUUAAACACGGAUACUAAUAAAAUAUAUGCAAUUAGAACGAUUAUACCAAAGUAGGAACGUGUUCAAAGCAUACAACCAACUAAAAAUAAUAUGAAAGAAUGACUAUAAAAAUAUAUGAACCAGGAAAUGAUACCUAUACUGAGAAGACUCGAGGAUUACUACGCUGAAGUGCCCUAAUGCCGGGAUCAUAUGCCUCGAUCCUAACUCUUGAGGGGUGCGCAAAAACAGAAAAGGUGAGUGGACCAUAAUUUAUAAUAAUACUAAUAAUACAAAAACCAGUUUAUUUUAGAACAUACUAACCCCUUAUUUUGAAAACACAUAUAUAAUACUACAUAUAAGUUUUAUGAAAAACCCUAGCAUGCCAUGAAAAAUAUUUGUGAAACAUGUACGUGUAAAACCAUGCUCAAUAAUGCUGAAAACGUUGCCCGAAGGAAAAUCCGUAAAUCUCCUCAAUACUGUACUCUUUAGGGGUAUCAUAGUUGCCUGAAGGCAGUACCUGUCCAUCACCUGAAGGUGAAACUGUACAACACUGGGUUACGCCAAUGAAGAAACAUGGUAGGCCUCAUUACUCGAAGGUGAAGCUGUAUAAAAUAGCAUCCAUCCACACCGACACUAGCCGGGCUAGUGAAGCUGUCCGACACUACUUUCAGCAAUGAAACUGAGGGUAUAUCAUAUAUCAUAUCUCACUCCUCCUCAUCAAUUGUGUCAUUCGGCCAUAGACAUCUAUACCCGUGUUGUGUGGAUGUGUCGUAUGAUAACCCACUAGAUAAGUGCCAAAAACAUAUCUCAAAACUCGUAUCAAACAUCGGAGCUCAAAAGCUCAAACCUCGUCUCAUAAAUCCAUGGAAAAUCAUAUUCAUAAAUCCAUAAUAAACAAAUACGUGAAUCCAUAGAAUUUCAUAAACGAAAAUCCAAUGAUUCAUAACCUUUAGUAAUAUAAAAAUCCAAUAAAUCGUAAUUAUUCCGUAAAAGCAAUUUAAAUAAAUCUUAAGUAUGAAAAUCCGUAUAACAUAAUAUAAAUCAUGCUCCAUUCAUAAAACAUGCAAUGCAUGCUAGGCUAAUAUCUUAUAAAAAUAUAAAAGUUUAGAAGGGGUCCACUCACGUAUUUUAUUGCCCGAGAGCUGCUCGAACUAGCAAGGAUUGUGCCACUUCUUAUCGACGUACCUAAGCACAAAUAGAGGUCAUUAGUAAAACUCUAUCAAAAUAGUCGAAUUUGGGGAAAACAGAUCAGGGCGUCGAAAUUAGCCUAGGAAAGGUCCCUAUCGAAACCAGAAAAAGUCAAUGUUGACAAUCAACAAUCAAAGUCAAUGGUCAACGCUGACCGGAAGUCAACGGUCGGGUCAAGGUCAACAGUCUAGAGGGUGCAGAGAAGAGAGAUGAGGGAAAAUGUUCCCUAGGGAGAAACAAGAAGGGGAAAAAAAAUAGAGAAUGAAAGUUCUACAGAAAGAGAGGGAUCACAGGAGAAACUCCCAAAAAUGAGGGAAGAAAUUGCCACGUGUCAACUCGGGGUUGGUUCAAGGUGAAAAUAUCUUUCAUGACAAAAUUACCAAAAAUACCCUUAUUGCUUUGAGUCUUGUAAAAUCUUCGAUUUAGCUCCAAAUUCACUUCCGCUUGCCUCCCUGCAUUCGUAAUGAUGAGUACUAUGAGGCUACGUCAAGGGAAUGAAUUUUACAUGACACAACAAGAUGAUCAACAAAAGUCAAUGUAUUUGCCUCGAAGGGCAUUUUCAUAAUUUUACAUUUUAAAAUUAUAAAAGCCAUAAUAUUGUGGGGAUGGGUUGUUACACCUAGCUCGCUGCCAGCCAAGCCCAGUCCAUGGCAAGCCGAGCCUAAGCUCGCAAGGAGCAAGCCCCAGCCUAGCACGCAGACAAAGCCAUUGCGGAAGUUUAGCCCGCCACAUUUCACCUUGUUCAAAGGAGAUGAAGAUCCGAACAUGCACCUGAUGCACUACUGAAGUGCCAUGACCCUCCAUGGCAACAAGGAUGCUCUCAUGUACAAGAUCUUUGCCACGAUACUCCAAGGCGAGGUGCAAGAUUGGUUCCACUUCAUGCAGCCAUAUUCAAUCCGGAACUUUAGUGAACUUUCCUUGGUUUUCACUAAGGAAUAUUUGUCCUAUUGCUCGAUCAAGAAGAAGUCUGAUUACCUCUUUAACAUGAAGAAUGAUCCAGAGGAGUCACUGUGCGCAUACAUCAAGAGGUUCAAGGUGGAGAAGGCGAAGAUCGUCGAAUGCGAUAACAACAUUACAAGCUCAGCUUUCCGGAAGGAACUCCCAGCAGAUCACCUAUUUUUCGAAGAGCUGAUCAUGGGCGAGAACUUGACCCAUGCAGAUUCUUACGCUUUGGUAGAAAUGCACUCCCUCUAGGAUGAGGCUAAGGGUUCCUAGAAGCCGCUUGAGCAUAAAGACAAGGAGCUAGCUCAGAAGAAGGUGGGUGAUAAACUACUUAAUGAUAAGAACAAGCCAGGAAGCAGACACAAAGAUCGAUCCUUAGUGAAAGAAGGCUAUGCACCCAAGGUGUACACCAAGUUUUUAGUCUCGAUUAACCAGAUCCUUCGCAACUUCAAGGACAAACCAUAGUUCAAGAUGCCAUAGCCCAUGAAGGGAGAUACCUCCAAGAUGGACAGACAAAAUACUGUGCAUUUCACAGAGAUUCAGGGGCACGCAACCAAUAACUGCAUUACAUGGAUAAGGUAUCUUAAGAAGUUCGUAAAAGAAGGCAAAUGCAACCAAUAUGUCGAUAGACCAGCUGUCUGGCCGAUGUCGAACUCCCAGCCAAGACGAUCUGAAUUAACAAUAUCAGGGCCACCAACAAUUCAAAAAAGAAGAAGAUCCAACAGGCAAGAUCGAUCUUUCAGGUUCAAGCUAUAGAUGUUGUACCUGGACCAAUCGUCGACUUCAAUGAGUAGGAUGCUGAAGGAGUAGACUUUCCCCACGACGAUGCCUUAGUGAUUUCUCAUCGUUGACAAGAUGAUGGUGGACGACGACAGCUCAUUCAAUAUCUUACAACUAUCAGUCAUCCAAAAGAUGGACCUGGAAAGUACGAUGAGACGCAAAACAGAGAUCUUGACUAGAUUCAAUGAACUUACCUCAAUUGCCAUUAGCACAAUCACACUCGACGUAACCAGCCCUCCAAUUAUCUCAUCACAGACCUUCAUGAUCGUCAGCGACUCAUCUCCCCAUAACAAGAUAUUGGGCCGACCUUGGCUAGUGAAGAUUGGAGCUAUUGGAAAAGAUAAGUCAAGUGCUAGUUGGAAACCUUCAUUCAUUUUUGAGCAUUUGGAGUCGCAUUUUAAUUAGCCUACUUGUCUACAUCGUCAAUUAUUCCAAGCACCAAUUUACAACCAAACGAGUAAUUCGUUGAGGCAAACAUACCCAAUUGGGCACAAACACAAAUGGGUAAUUCUUUGCAAGUCACAUUUCCGGCCAACAUCCCUGGCAUAAGUUAUUGUGUUGCGAUGCAUUUGAUCUUUCAUAUUUGUUUGCCCUCACCUUAGCAUUCACAUUCAUCCUCACCUUUGGGACUGUGUCUUCUCCAAUAAAACACCAUCAUCUCCAGUAACAUACCAUUGUUCUCAUUGACCCUCACCUUUGGGCCUGGUGCGUUGUUCCUAAUAACACACCAUCAUCUCUUGCGACUAACCACCUAAAACUCAUGUUUCUUCGUCGUCAGUGGUGCUUAUCUUAUUGAUGUUUAUAUUUGAACCCAUGAUCUCUUACUCACAUAUUACUAGUUGUCAUUUGAACCAAAUGAUUUAAUAAGUUUAAUGAAUCAAUCAAAUUGUAUAACUAUAGAUAAAUAAGUCAAUACUACAUUAAUAAGUUUUGAUUUUAUGUAAGUAGUGGAUCACCCGGUUGGGGUUUUCUUUUUAACCCACUGCGUCUUAGGUUUGAACUCUCCUCCUCUCCUUCUAGUCUAGAGUAAGGAUAUCACUUGUAUUUGAAAAAAUAAUCAUAGAACUAGAUUGGGCUAGCCCUAUUAAGAGCAACUCCAGCGUUGCAAAGGCCUCCUAGGGCAACUCACUAUUGAAUAGCCUCCAAUGAACAAUAACUAUCUUUUGCAUCUCCAUCUCUAAACUGAAAAGCCAUGACAAUAGGUAAUAAAAUAAUAAAAAAUAAUUUUAUUUGUAAUUUCAGAUAUGAUUUUUAAUCGGUCUCGUUGUACCACGUGUCAUUAAAUAAGAAAUUACAACCCAAAUUAUUUGAGAAAAUAUAAAAUUAUGGUGUAAGUCGGAAGAUAAUGAUAACAUAUUUAUAGAAAAAUUAAAUCAAUUUUUUUACAUUUUUAUUAAUAUUUUAUAUUUUUAUUAAUUUUAUAUUAUGGCUGAUGUCACCCUGACGUCAGCCAUUCAUCACUUGGGCCUCAGGCUUUCGGACGAUGGAUUCCUGCCUGGCAUGUCUAUCGGGCCUCACCCGAGCCCCAUUGCCCGCAUAGGCUGGAGCCAAUUGCUGGGGCAAUUGGGUGAUUGGAAUCGCCGGUCCAUCAGGCUAAAGAGCAUGCUAGACUUGCUCUAAAGGCCGGGUCAUUGGGCAAACCAAACUCAGACCGACCCAUCGGGCCUAGGCUGUACUUACAAGCCUAGUAUUGAUAGGAUAGCUUUCAAAAAAAAAAAAAAAGAGUAUUGAUAGGAUUGAAAUAAUAAAGGCUAAAAUAAUGAGUUUGGAAUAGUACAGGGCUAUUCGGGAUAGAAAACUCUCUCCUUCUCUCGCUUACCACGAACCCUAGUUACUGGAGGAACACUACUUGUACAACAUGGCGAGGCGGAAGAGGAGGCAGUCGGAGUCGGAGUCGGAGGCGCAAGAUUUAUCUAAUAAGACAGUGAAGCGGAAGUUGGAAGAAAAAUCGACAACAACUGAAAAGUUAACAGAUAAUGACGUCACGCAUGAUGCCAUUACACAUUCCCCGCCGCCGAAUGUUGAGGUCCGUCGGGCAACCUUUGUUGUAGAAAAUGCUUCUCUGAGAAUGGGCAUCGUUCGAAAGGUACGGGAAACUCUUCAUGCAAAAAUUUGAUAUUCGAGUAAAAUUUUUUUUGAGGCUUUUUUAAUUAUUUUGUUUAUUUACUUGUCUAGAAUUUUAUUUCCUCAAUUUUUAACUUUUUUUCUUCUCAGAGGUGGAAGAUUCUGGAUUCAGAGGAAGACGCUGAUGCCCUGAAACAAAAGAAAGAUGAGAAUAAUUAUCGGCCUGGAGUUGUCUACCAGGUUUGCUCUUGAGCUACAACUUACAAGUUACAUUGAUUACAUUCUUCUUAUAUGAGUUUGGUUAGGUUUCUAUAUAGUGGAGUUGUAAUCUUAGGUUAAUGAAAAUACUUAUAAGUGAACAAACUAAAGGUUUUUGAUAAGGUGUUGAUAUCAUGGAUGAUAAUGUAUCACAUUAUCAGUGACAAAACUUACUGAGUUAUUGAUACAAAUUCCGACAACAACUCGCACCGAGAAUUUUUGGAUGCAUAAAAGAAGGGUCCUAGAAAGAUGAGGAUAAAUCCAUCCGUUUGUUUAUAUGAGAUAGAAAAGUUAUUUCCAAACCCUCAUUGUCAGUAAAGUCGAAUUAAACAAUUUACACUGUAUCAUACCAUUGUUACAGACCCAUAAGUUCAUUCAUAGGAACUGAGGUUAGCAUAAGGGUUACUGCACUCAGAUUUUAGCAUUGGAUCAUGUCUCACUAAUAUGUAGUCUAUGUUGUGUUUCUUUUGCUGUUUUUAAUUUAUACAUUUAUUAAGUGUUUUACCCAUCCAGGCUCUUCGUGCGAUUUUUGAUAGCAAACUUAAUAAAGCUGGUAUGGUAGGAGCUGUGUAUGUGAAAACAGAUAAUGGAGUGUUAUUUGAGAUUAAACCCCACGUUCGUAUACCAAGAACGUGUAGGCGCUUUUGUGGAGUCAUGCGUAAGUUAGCUUCUAUUCCUAGUUGUCUUAUAUUCACUCUGCAUCAUUCAGCCUCUUCAAAAUAUAUCCAUGGAAUCUUACAGAUUGCUUUGUGUUUUGACUUUUGCAAUUUUUAAAGUGGAGUUACUAGAUAAAAAAUGCAUACGGACCAAAGAUACAAAUGAAAUUCUUAUGCGUGUCAUUGCGGAACCUGUAACUCGAUAUUUACCGGUCAACUCUCGUGUAGUAGGUGAGCAUUCCCUACCUCUAUUUAGUAUUCUGACCUUACUGACUAUGACUAAUGCCUGCUGUACUGGGUUUACAGGACUCUCUUAUAGUUCAGAAAAAGUGGUUGAUAUUGAUGACUAUGUUAAUUCUGCCAGCGAUGAAUUGAAUCUUGUUUUUGUGGUAUGUUUGAGAUUCUAAAUUUCAGUUCAUAAGUCUCUACUUCGUGCUCUUUUUUGUAUGUGAAAUUUGAAAUCCCUUAAUCCGCAUAACGGCUUUUUAUACUUGUUCAGGUGGGUGAACUGGCCCAUGGGAAGAUCAAUGAGUAUACAGAUGAUUUUAUAUCGGGUAAUUUAUACUUGAGCUAUGUGAUAUUGUGGCUUUUAUAAAUGUCGAUGAGAAAUGUGAACAGAUGUUAAGAAACUAAGAUGGUGUAUCUGAACUUUUGAGCUUGAAAAGGUAAUUUUUGGUGGUUGAGUUUGAAUUCUUGAGUAAACAGAACAGCGAUCAAAGGAUUUUGUGCAAUAUAGGAAACUCGAAUCUUAUCAAAACUGGGGAGCGGAUGGUUGACGGAAGUAGAUAUCGGAUAGGCUUAAUUUUUUAGGGUUUAGGAUUUACUGCGAUGAUGAUUUUUUGUAUCUCUGUACUUGAAUUCAUUGAUGAGAAACAAUGUGCAUGUGAAAAGCUCCUGUAGUAGUACAAAUAAGAACUGAAAUGGUAAAUAACUCCAAUGGCUUAACUUGAUCCUUCCUAUAUUUAACAACUUACAAAAAAUUGAUCUCUUUACGAUAAGCGGAUGCAGGCUUUGAAUUUCGGUUAUUAUUGGUUUGAAGUGCUCAUUUUCUACUAGUAUCAGUCAUUUUCAUUAUUAUUAUCAUUAUGAUUGAGACCGUUUGUACUAGAAGGGUUGUGAUUGCUUUUGUUUAUUUAUCCUGUUCCCCUUAGAUAUACGAGGAGCCUGCCCCGGUUCUCACACUUUUUAAGGUUGUCUAGCUUAUUGUGUCAGUAUGUAUAUUGUGUAUGACGAACAAAAGUAGCUCGUUCACUGGGUUGUUUGUAUGUUUGUCAAAAAGGCAUUUAUUCCUUAACAUCCUUGUUGAAUUGGCAUAGGCAAAACAGCUUGCCUUUUGCGUCUGUGUGUUUGUAUAAAUUUUUAGUGUUGUCUGUUUUGGUCGGCUGGUUUUUUUUUUUUCUUCCAGUUUCGUUUUCACUUGACUCCUCUAUGUUAUGCUGGAAGCUAUUAAUAUUUUAAUGUUGCAUUUGUUUGGCUCUGCAGUUUCAAAUUAUCCGUUGAGUGCAAAAGGCUGCAUAGGGUUGAUUUGCGAGUCGUUGGAGCAUAAAUGGAAGAUCUUCUGAAUCAUUUAUAUCUAGGUUAUUAAGUACGAAGUUUUGUACAAGCGUUGAAGAUAUUCAUAACAUGAGUAUUCCUAUAAUUUAUCGUGAUUUAAAAGAUGAAAGUUAUUGGACAAAACUGAAUUACUUGUGAAACAUUUGUUUUCAUCUUUUAAUUGAAUAUCGCUUGAGUAGACGAUAACUUAGUUAUUUAAGUAUUGGAUUUGAAAAUUGAAUGUUCUCUUGUAUGAAACCUUUACAAUAAGUUUGCUAUUAGCUCCAAACACCCAUUUUAGUCAGAAUGGGGUGGUUAAAAUCCCCUUUAAUGUCCUGGUGCAACCAUUUGACCAUGUGGCAAGCCCUUAUUGGAGGGAUUUUUCAACAUGUGGCAAGCACUGAUUUGCCGGGUGAUGUCAUUGUGUCUAUGAAUUGGUUGCGAGAGAAUCUCUGCACUUGUGUAGAGGUGGUUUUUUGGACUAUGUUUCUGAAACAGUUUUUUUUUUCUUUUGCAUUUGAAUUUGUUUUUGAAAAGGAAAAUUUCAAAGAUCAAAGGAUGAUUAUUAAGUUAUUACUUCAAAACAAUAACAACAACAACAACAACAACAAAGCCUUUUCUCACUAAGUGGGGUCGGCUAUAUGAAUCCUAGAACGCCAUUGCGCUCGGUUUUGUGUCAUGUCCUCCGUUAGAUCCAAGUACUCUAAGUCUAAAGUGAAUGUGGAGUGAGAUGCCACACCAGGCAGCACGCUGAGGUUAGGCAUAUCUUGGUCUGCAGGGCUGGGGUUAGACCCAAUCCCAAUCUGAACAUCAAUUUUAUAUUAGCUACCCAACUAUGGUGGAUGGGGAAACCCUACUAACCCGAGGGCUUAAGGGCGCACUUUGUGCGAUUUCACCCAAGGUGAACAGACUAAGACCACCAUCAUCUCACAUGGUUAGGCUUCAUGCAGGCAACAAAUCACUUUAAUGCACUGCUAAGUUACAAGCUCACGCAACAAAUCACUUUAAUGCACUGCUAAGUUAUUACUUCAAAAAAAAAAAAAACAAGUAUGAUUAUUCGACUUGAUGAAGUCAAAAAAAUAGUUCGACACUGAGAAGUAGAACCGAGCACAAUAUACUAGCCAACUAACCAUUGUAAUUUGUCUAUAAAAGAUGAUAGUUUAAGUUCCUCCUCGGUCAUGGGCAACAAGAAUGCCUUCCAACAUGAAGUGCUUACUCUUAAGCUUGUCCAUAGAAGAAAACAGUGACUUAGCAGCCAACGCAAGAGCAGCAGCCUUCAAUAAAACCUCUUUGCCUGCAGUAGCCUCAUCAAUAAUUAGGAAAUCUAAAGUGAUCAGAGCGGCUUUUCUGCUGGAUUUUCUUUACUUAGAAAUAGAUAAUUCGGGCAUGAUCAAAGAUGCUAUGGCUGACCUGGCCCUGGUGUUAAUCUGACGCAACUUACCGGUGAUAGUCUUAACACCAAGAGCUUUCACAAGGUUUUGUAUAUAAUCCAAUGUUCAGUGGAGAUGACUUUCCUACUGACCGAAAUCACUUUUUUUAGUUGAAGGAAACAAGGCUUUCCAGCCCAGCUGGUCCCACUAGCGAGGAGAGUUUUGACUGCGAAUAUUCCCGUAGCUGCUUCUGAUCCUGUUUCAACUUCUACCCCUAUCUUGAAUGCAGCUGCCGCGGAAACUACUCUCCAUGUCCCCCUUCACCCAUUUCAAAAGGGUGCAACACUUCUCAGUUUGGGACUAUGGCAUAGCGAUACACUCUACUCUCUCGCGACCCUUAGUAUAAUCAAAAGACUAAAGGAGGCGAAAAGGUCGUCUAAGUUUUCUUAGGAACAAAUUUGUUUGACUUCAAGGGUCCAAUGCUCUUGUAGCUCAUGAUAGAAUAAAAACUUUGGCGUGGCAACAUGCUCGGUGAUAAGGGCUAGUUUGGUAUUGUUGUGCUUUUUAAUAAAACUGAUUCUGCUGUGAUGUAAGAAUAAAUAUCUAUAAAAUAAAAUUGUUAAGUUUUUGGUAAACCUUUUUUUUGUAAAAGUGUUUUUAUAAAAAAAAAGCAGUGUCUAAGUAUUUGGUAAACUUUUAUAGAAGUUGCUUUGAAUAUGUUAAAUGACUAAAAAUGAUAUAGUAUUUAAUGUGAUAUAAUAAUUGUUAAAGACAAUAAUGUAAGGACAAAGAUUGUAAUUUUGUAAAGCAUGUGGGGUAUACUUGCUAUUUGAAAAUUUCAUUAAAUGAGCAUUUGUUACUAUACUUUAAAAACUGCUUUGAUUUGCAAUAGUUGGAAUGGUUCUAAUUGGUGCUGGCCUAAUAAUUCUUCUCAUGAGUUGCUGGAAAUUCAAAUUUAUAUGUCUAAUAUUGUGCCAAAUCCUAGCUUGGGUGAUAUGAUUCGAUGGACUCCUUCAUCGUCUGGCAUCUACCUUGCUACUUCUGCUUGGGAUAAAUUUCGGCAAUCCAAGCCUACGCUAGAUUGGUCUAAGCUUGUUUGGUAUAAUCAAAAUAUUCCCAAGAUGAGCUUCAUUCUUUGGUUGGCUAUUAAAUGCAAGCUUUCUACUAUGGAUAGAAUUUUGACUUUUGCUCUGUCAGUUCUUGUUACUUGCGUACUCUGCUCUAUUGCUACGGAGUCCCAUUGCCACCUCAUCUUUGAGUGUCCCUUUAUUGAUGGUAUUUGGUCUUCAGUGCUAUUAAAGUGCAGUGUCCUUUGGCUAAGGCUCCGUUGGCCUCUUUUUGUCAUGUGGGCUACCAGCCGUUUCAAGGGAAAAUCUCUAUCAUCAAUAGUUUUGAAGUGAAGUCUUGUUGCUAUUGUGUAUUAUGUUUGGAGGGAGCAGAACAGCUGUAGAUUCAAGAACUCAUGUCAACCCGUUGCGGUGGUUCUCAACUCAAUUAAGUCCACCAUUAGAGUUCGAUUGAGUUAUUUGAAAAUCGCCCAUUUCGUUGCUAUUGACUCUACUUUACAGGAAUGGAAUAUAACUAUGAAUCGUUAGUGCUUAUUUUGCUGCUUUGAUGCAGCAUUGUUAGCUUUGCUGUCUGUUUUUCUUUUAGCUGCAGCUCUUUGUUGCGUGUUUGUAUUUUCAACUACUCUUUGUUGCUUUAAUUCUCUUUUUCUCAUCAAUAUAUUUUAUUUAUAUAUAUAAAAAAGCAUUUUUUUAGAAGCACGGUAGAUCUGCUUCUGCUUUUCUAUGUUUUUCCUACUUUUAUUGACAUCAAUUUUUUUUAUCAAACACAUUUAAUGUUUCAAAUUUUUUAAUAAGCUGUUUUUUUAAAGCACCACAAUCCCAAACCAAUCGUAAGUGUAUAAAAACCAAGAGAAAAAUAUAAAGAAAAAAUAAACCCCCCGCCUGAGACACACAAAUACUUGUGGGGCGCGGAUAGCUCCAAUAUCAGGACACUGAAAUAUCACAAUAUUACAUUAUUCAUUAACAAUGUAAAUAUGAUUGUGACGCUUGUUACACUAAAAGUAUGAUUAAAUAAGAUCUCUUAGACCAAUCCAUGUACUUAUCAUAAAGGAAAACUAAUGAAAAAAAUUUGAAAACUUUAAGUUUUAAUUAAAAUGACAAAAAUGUGUUGUAAGUAAAUAGUACCAGGAGUGACUUUUUAGAGAAAAUAUCAUUUUCAUUAAAAGUGAACAGUACCAAGAGUGUUUCGUUAAAAUUCCUUCCUUGUAGGAUUCUCAAAUCCUACGAAGGAGAAUACACAUAUCAAGUAAUCAACCCCUUCUGUCUCACUCUUUAUAACAUACUCAUACAAUAAAUUUAUUUAAGGACGUUGUAAUACACAUCAUUUUUUUAUCCUCCCAUACAAACUCUAUUUGUUUUUUAAUUCGUUCGAUCAAAAAGUUAAAAAUUCAAAAGAACAUGAUCAUUGUAAAAAUAGUUGUGUGAACAGUAACAUCCUUUAACUAUUCUAUUUAUAAUUAUUUUUGGUCGGGAGGCACGUAGGAAAAAACUGAAAAGAGAAAGCAAAUAAAAGAUAAAUAAAAUAUAGAAAGAAGAAGAAGAAAAAAAUAAAUGAGGAUUCUCUCCUGAUCUUCUUUGUGAGGAUUUCGGAGAUUUUUCAAUUACAUUCGUUCAUCGUGUGAUCAGUUUUUGUUAAGUACUGUUUAUAUUUAAUUUUAAAUAAAAUAAUUUACAAUGAUUCAGAUUGCACGAUAUACAAUGAACGGAUAUGAUUAAAAAUUUUCUGAGGAUCCUCAUUCGAACAAAAUUAGGAAGAGAAUUCGGAAACCCUAGCCCCAGCUGCCCUCCUCCUCUCGUCUCGAUUUUAUUUUAUUUUAUUUAACCACAGUCCUCACUCCUCAUACAAUUUUAUACUCGAUUCUUCUCUCGAGUCUCGGACUCUCUCAACGGACGAAACCUUCACCUUGGUUCAAAAGCAAAAGGCCUCUACUUUCCAAGCCCCCAAUUUGUUCCGGUAUACAAACUCUCAGAAGCCCCAAUUUGUGACCCAAACUGAAGACUGAAACAAGUUUUGCAUGCCAUGAAGACCCACAAAGCUUCGAAUUCGAACAAGUCCUCUAAUGGAAGGUACUAACUACUAAGCUUUUUACUCUCACAUUUGGUUUAACUUUUGGGAUUCGGAUUAGUCAUUAUUUGCAGCUUCACUAGCAAUUAUUUAUUAUUACCUUGUGUGCCAUAUUUUGUUUUAAUCUCUUGGUAAUGCACACAUUGUUGAAAGGAAAUGGAUUGCCUUCCAUUCUUUUGGUAAUUACAUUAGCAUGAAUUCUUCAACGGUAUUCCAGGAGGAUCGAAAAGAGGGGAAUGAAGAGAAAGGCCUUGGAGCGAUGCUCAAGGCUUAAGUCUUCCAAGGACUUCUUGGAAGUCAAAGGAAUUAUUGAACAGGAUAGUAAUGAAGAUUCUAUGCUCCAACUUCCCGGCAUUCCUCUAGCUCCUUCCAGCCAGAAUAUGAACCCUGGAGUUACUUUUGUUCUCGAAAAGGCCUCCUUGGUGCCUGCUUAUGUCGGCAAGGUAACCCCAUUUUUCAUUUAUAAUUCUACCUGCAUCCUUUAUUUUUCUGCUUCUGUGCUACUUUGUUCGUUACUGUUCUUUUACCUUGUAUUUAUAUUUCCUUUUUUCAGAAUUACCAGAUUUUAAAUCCAGAAAUACACGGGGACUUCCUUCGGAAAAAGAAUAUGGAUCCUUAUAAAUACAGACCUGACAUUGUUCACGAGGUGAGGUGCCUAGGGACUCUUUUUAAGAUUGAGAAUGAUUGAUUGGACUCAUUGCAUUUCCCUCAAAUAGCAUCAGAAAUUGCAUGUCAUUGCUCUCCAUUGGCAAAAUCACUUUACUUUUGUCUCAGAAGUUCUUUUUAUUUUUGCAAAUUCUUUUGUACGUUCAGGCCCUCCUUCAAAUUAUGGAUACCCGACUUUGCAUGGCCGGCAGACUGCAGCCGGUGUAUGUUAAAACUGACCAAGGGGUUCUCAUCAAAGUCGAACCACAUGCUCGUAUACCAGAAUCAUUGGACAAGUUUUGUGCUAUGAUGUGUUAGUCCUUCUUUGAUAACAGACUCAAACAUUAUUUAUUCCUAGCCAUUUUUCAUCCAGGUCGUUGUUUUCUUUUCAAAAUUCAUCUUUUAACUUCCCAAAACCUGUCCUAAUCUAUGGUUUGCAGCACAAUUAUUGCAAAAGCUCCGCAUUAAAGCCAAGGGUCGACGUGAUACACUCUUGCGUGUGGUUCAGAACCCUUUAUCUCAGCAUUUACCUUCUAACUCCGUCAAAAUAGGUAAGCCUCCGAUAAUGUGCACGGUUCUAUUUCCAUUAAAAUGCUUUCCAUAACACCAAACGCGCUGUCACUUCAGGCCUUUCCGUCAGUUCGCAAAAGGAAGUUCAGUUACGGGAGUAUGUAAAUGCUGUCAGCAAUAAUGCCAACCUUGUAUUUGUGGUAUAAGCAUUAUACUUUCCUAUCAUCUGUUCGCAUUACACAUGUACUAUCUGGCGGUUUUGUUCGUUAGUUCAUUAACUAACUUGAUGUUCAGGUUGGUGCCAUGGCUCACGGGAAAAUUGAUAGCGAGUAUGCGGAUGAUUUCAUAUCAGGUAACUUUUUUUUUUCUCUUUACUUUUACUAUUCCCAAAAAAAUGUUAUUGUUCUAAGCUACCCGGCAUGUUUUCAUGAAAGUGAUGAUACUACUAAAAUGAAUAUCGAAGACUGAUUCAUGGAUGCUAAAGUUAAGGAAUACUAGUCUCGCGAACAUGAUGGUUCCAAAGCUAAUUGGGUCCUCUGGCUGGUUAAGGAUUUUUGUUGUUUUAUGUGUCAUGUAGUCCUAAUAGGAUUGACAUUUAUUAAGUAGUCUAGGGCAUCAAAUCAUGCUCUGUAUUAUCAAGUUAAACUUUAGCUAAAACAGAAAAAGUUAUUUGAGAAGUUCUCGAUAUUACUUCCACAUAUUUCCACACCUACCAUGCUCUCUAGUUUAGGUAGUCAUAAUUAUUUUUAGCCACUAACUAAAAAGUAUUUCGUUGAAAUAAUAGUUAAAACCAAUUUUAGGAGUUAGAUAGAUAGGAAGCAUCAUUGGAGUUGAUCUUUUGCAAGUUUUUCUAAAUUUUUAGCUCAUUUAGGGAGUCCAAUGGGAAUGCUCAGGGAGUAAUUCGGUAAGUCUGGUCGGAUUGGGAUAUCUUGAUAAACAAGGAUUAGGGUUUAUAGGAUGCUGUACUCUGGUAUGAAUAGACUAUUAUUAGGCUCUUCUAUUCAGUUUGCUUUUAUCAGUUAUAUAAUUUCUGAUUUCAGAGUUUCCCUUUGGAUUUCUUGCUCUAGAACUCAGUUGUCUCAUUCCAGCUUCGGUUUUAUUGCUGUUUUAUCUGUAUUGUUCUCUUGUUCAUCGUUUGGAAUUCACUUCUACUGUGAUUUGGCCCUAUUCUACUCGCUGGACAACAGAUUAUCACUACUGCCCAUCAGAUUUCCAAGCAGCAAAGCUAAUCAAUAAGCCUGAAAAUGUACAUGUGUAAAAAAACUCGAGGUGUUACAAGGGGUAUGGGCUAUUUGGGUACAGAAGAUCUGAAGGCAAACUUACGCUAGAUUAAAAAAGGUCUUAAUAGGCAUUAACAUAAAAAAAUUAUAAACCAAUGCCAAAAAUUUUGACUGAGAUUUUUGGGAACGACCUAAAACAAAGCCAAAUACAUAAUUCAAUCUCGUGUUAUAACUUGAAUGGAUUAGCCACAUGGGUGGUUAUGGACCCGAUGGCUCUCCCUUGGUAAUAUUCUUUGCCUUGAGUGAGAAGUUGCGGUACAAGAUUCCAUCCUUUGAAGUUUUUUUUUUUUAUUAAUAUUAUUGUUCUGCAAGACUGUAAACAGUCUUGGAGUCUGGUGGUUCCUCCUCAUGCACUAAGAAAUAAUUUUGAUUUGGUUUCUGAUAUGAUCUGUUAAUAAAUGUGUAUGUGAUGUUGCAGUUUCUGGAUAUCCGCUGAGCGCUGGGGUGUGCCUGAGAAGUAUAUGUAUAGCAUUGGAGAGAAAGUGGAAUAUUUUGUGAAACAACUGUCAUUAGUAUGGUAUGGAUUAGAAACUCUUGUGAGCGUGCUAUCUUGGUUGCGGAGGAUCGAUAGAAGAAUUAUGGAGCUUUUUUGCGUAGUUUUUGUUUAAUUUAUGGUCUGUAUCACGGACGCUCUGCAAGUUGACAAGUUUAAUGGCAGUAGAUUCUUGUUAAUAAGAGCGCGGUACUUAACUAUUGGAGAAGAUAAGUCAAGUGCUAGUUGGAAACCUUCCUUCACUUUUUGAGCAUUUGAAGUUGCGUUGUAUGUACCUUGUAUCAUGUUGGCGUAAGUUAUCAUGUUGUGACACAUUCCAUCUUUCGAACCAUCAUCUCCAGCGACUGUUGUAGCCACCUCCAAUUACCCAAUACGACCUCAUGUUUCUUCGACGUGAGUGGUACUUUGAUUGACGGUGGACCACCGAAGUGUUUUUUUGUAGCAAAGACCCUAUCUUUGGCGUGAAUGUGUAUGUGGGGUGUGAGAUCAUGAGCUGAGAUUUAAAAAACUUACAUUUUCUCUUCAAAUUUCUUCUCAUUGGAGCAACCAGAAAAAGUUUAAUUUCUGUCCCUCGAAAUGGUUAGCUCACUGCUCAGAGCAAGAAAUUCCAUCCCCAAAAUCCCCAAAAUCUUCCCCCCAAAUCCACAAAUUCUCACUCCAAACUCACCCCCAAUCCAAUCCCACCAAAACCCAUGUCCCCAACCGCCUCAUGCCCAAAACCCGUCAAGGGUUUUGCAGAAUUCUUCUUUUUCAACCCAGUCCUCCAAGUUUCCUGAAUACGAAAUGCACUCGAUCACUUGGGGUGUUUGUUGAAAGGUAAUCUUGCUUCUAGAAUGGUGGGUGCAUGCAUUGAAAAUGCUAGACAAUUCUAGCAUGAAUAUGGCAUGUGUUCAUUAUGUUCAUAAGCAAAGUCUAUGUUGGUGGGCUACUUUAAGAAAUCAAGAAUAAUGGCUAGGAUGAUUUCACACUUGGUAUUCACACUUGGUAUGGUUGGUUAUGCUUGCCUAUAAGUAUAGGUGAGUAUGUUGUAAUGUAAGAUAUAAGAAGAAGAAAAGAGAAGUGAGAAAGAAGAAGAAGAAGUAAGAGAGACAAGAAGGCUCUCUAAAGUGAGAAUAAGUAGAAGAAGCAUUCAUAGCUUCCAAGAGUGUUUGAGUGAUUUCUCUUGUAUUAGUUUGUGUGAGAAUAAGAAAAGUUUUGAGUGUUACCUUGAAUAUUCUUUUUCUCUUGCCUAUCAAUUUCCGCUGUGUUACAUUCUUAUUUGAGAUAGACAUCUCCAAAGUAGAGAAGUCUUUUAAAUCCCAACAAAGUGGUAUCAGAGCCAUGGCUAACAACGCUAUGGCAGCUUUCCAAGUUCCAGUGCUCAACAACAACAACUUCGAUAAUUGGAGUAUCAAAAUGAAGGCCCUUUUGGGAGCACAUGAUGUAUGGGAAGUCGUGGAGAAAGGCUACACUGAGCCAGAAGAUGAAGCUACUCUGUCCCAACCCCAGAAGGAGGGUUUGAAAGAUUCAAGAAAGAGAGACAAGAAGGCUCUCUACCUCAUCUACCAAGCAUUAAAUGACAAUGGUUUUGAGAAGGUCUCAAGUGCAACCUCCGCCAAGCAAGCAUGGGAGAAGCUUCAAACCUCUUACAAAGGAGCCGAACAAGUGAAAAAGGUUCGUCUUCAAGUAUUAAGAGGUGAGUUCGAAUCUUUACAAAUGAAAGGGUCUGAAUCAAUCUCCGAUUACUUCUCAAGAGUUUUAGCCGUUUCCAAUCAAUUAAAAAGAAACGGUGAAAAAUUAGAAGAUGUUAGAAUUAUGGAGAAGAUACUACGCUCGUUGGACCCCAAAUUCGAGCACAUUGUUGUGACGAUUGAAGAGACAAAAGACUUGGAAGAAAUCAGUAUAGAGCAUUUAAUGGGCUCGCUACAAGCAUAUGAAGAGAAACAUAAGAAGAGGCAAGGGAAUGAUGAGCAGCUUCUCAAGACGCAUGUUCCAGCCAAAGAAGAAAGAAGAAAGCUUCAACAACGAGAGAAGCCAAAACGAAAGAAGUCGUGGCCGAGGUCGCGGACGUGGGCGUGGACAUGGACGUGGACGCAGUUGGAACUUCAACAACCAUAGCAACUACGAAAGAGGAGAAAGCUCAACAAAAGGUCGUGGGAGAGCGCUCAAACUUGAGGUAUGAAAAAUCUCAAGUUCAAUGCUAUAAUUGUCAAAAGUUCGGGCAUUAUGCUUGGGAAUGUAGAGCUCCAAACAACAGACUUGAUGAGAAGGUCAAUUAUGUGAAAGAAGAUAAAGAAGAGAAUGGCGUUGUGCUACUAGCAUGCAAGAACAAUGAUGGAGAUCAAGACUAUACAUGGUAUCUUUGACACCGGCGCCAGCAACCACAUGUGUGGAAAAAGAAGCGUGUUCGUAGAGCUCAAUGAAUCAGUGAGUGGCAACGUUUCUUUUGGAGACGAAUCCAAAAUACCCGUAAAAGGAAAAGGUAACAUCCUUAUUCCCCUUGAAAAUGGCGGUCACCAAUUAAUUUCAAAUGUCUACUACGUGCCCAAUAUGAAAAGCAACAUUUUGAGUUUGGGUCAACUCUUAGAAAAAGGUUAUGAUUUUCAUACAAAAAAUUAUAUCCUUUUUCUUAGAGAUGACAAAGGAAGAUUAAUUGCCAAGGCGAAAAUGUCAAAGAAUAGGAUGUUUCCCAUGAACAUUCAAAACGAUGUUGCAAAGUGUCUUAAGAUAUGUUACAAAGACAUAUCUUGGCUUUGGCAUCUUCGUUUUGGGCAUCUUAACUUUGAAGGAUUGGAGUUAUUAUCUAAGAAGGAGAUGGUGAGAGGAUUACCGUGCAUCAGCCACCUUGAUCAAGUUUGUGAAGGAUGUUUACUUGGAAAACAAUUCAGGAAAAGCUUUCCAAAGGAGUCGACCACAAGAGCCCAGAAGCCACUUGAGCUCAUUCACACCGAUGUGUGCGGUCCUAUAAAACCAAGCUCUUUGGGUAAAAAUAAUUAUUUCCUUCUCUUCAUUGAUGAUUUUUCAAGAAAAACCUGGGUUUAUUUCCUGAAGCAGAAAUCAGAAGUCUUUGGAGCAUUCAAGAAGUUCAAAGCCGUCGUAGAAAAAGAGAGUGGUUGCAAGAUCAAAGCCAUGAGAUCUGAUCGAGGAGGAGAAUUCACUUCAAAGGAAUUUCAAGAAUUUUGUGAAGCAAAUGGAAUUCGUCGACCUUUGACAGUUCCAAGAUCCCCUCAACAAAAUGGUGUGGCGGAAAGAAAAAAUCGAACUAUCCUCGACAUGGCUCGAAGUAUGCUCAAAAGCAAGAGAUUGCCUAAGGAGUUAUGGGCAGAAGUUGUAGCAUGUGCUGUCUACCUAUCCAUCGAUCUCCAACAAGAAGUGUGUGGGGAAAGACUCCGCAAGAAACAUGGAGUGGAAGAAAACCAGGUAUCUCUCAUCUAAGAGUUUUUGGAAGCAUAGCCCAUGUACAUGUACCAGACGAGAGGAGAGCCAAACUCGACGACAAAAGUGAGAAGUUCAUAUUCAUCGGCUAUGACUCAAAUUCAAAAGGCUACAAGUUGUAUAAUCCAAACAAUGGGAAGACGGUGAUCAGUCGAGACGUGACGUUCGACGAAGAAGAAGAAUGGGAUUUUGGCCCGCAUGCAGGAGAUCUUCAUUUCUUUCCUCAAUUUGAAGAAGAGAAUGAACAAGGGACGAUGGAGCAAGCAAGAGAGGUUCAACAAGAAUCCACUACUCCACCUGCUUCACCAAUAUCAACCAAUCAUGGCAAUUCACCAGCAUCAACAUCAUCAAGUGGGAGCCUAAAUGAAAGAGAAGUACCACGCACAAGAAGUAUACGAGAUCUCUAUGAGGUAGCUGAAAGACUUGAUAAUCCUACACUUUUCUGUCUCUUUGCUGAUUGUGAACCAGUCGACUUCCAAGAAGCAGUACAAGAUACUAAGUGGAGGAAAGCAAUGGAUGAAGAAAUCGAAGCAAUCGAGAAAAAUGAAACAUGGGAACUCACUGUUCUUCCAAAAGGACACAAAGCCAUCGGAGUCAAGUGGGUGUACAAGACAAAGAAAAAUGCCAACGGAGAGGUCGAAAGAUACAAGGCGAGACUAGUGGCGAAAGGCUAUAGUCAAAGAGCCGGAAUCGACUAUGAUGAGGUAUUUGCACCUGUUGCUCGUUUGGAAACGAUACGAUUGCUAAUUUCUUUGGCAGCUCAAAACAAAUGGAAGAUUCAACAAAUGGAUGUGAAGUCCGCCUUCCUAAAUGGAGUCCUUGAAGAAGAAGUCUACAUUCAACAACCAUCAGGCUAUGAAAUCAAAGGGCAUGAAGACAAGAUUCUGAAGCUGAAGAAAGCCCUCUAUGGGUUAAAACAAGCGCCAAGAGCAUGGAAUAGUCGCAUCGACAAGUACUUCCAAGAAAACAACUUCACCAAGUGCCCUCAUGAACAUGCUCUUUACGUCAAAGUCAAAGAUGAAGAUAUUUUGAUUCUGUGCUUAUAUGUGGAUGAUCUAAUCUUCACUGAGAGUAAUCCAAGCAUGUUUGAAGAGUUCAAGAAAGUGAUGACCAAAGAAUUUGAGAUGACGGACAUCGGCGUCACAAGCAAGAUUAAGGGGGGAUGUUGAAAGGUAAUCUUGCUUCUAGAAUGGUGGGUGCAUGCAUUGAAAAUGCUAGACAAUUCUAGCAUGAAUAUGGCAUGUGUUCAUUAUGUUCAUAAGCAAAGUCUAUGUUGGUGGGCUACUUUAAGAAAUCAAGAAUAAUGGCUAGGAUGAUUUCACACUUGGUAUUCACACUUGGUAUGGUUGGUUAUGCUUGCCUAUAAAUAUAGGUGAGUAUGUUGUAAUGUAAGAUAUAAGAAGAAGAAAAGAGAAGUGAGAAAGAAGAAGAAGAAGUAAGAGAGACAAGAAGGCUCUCUAAAGUGAGAAUAAGUAGAAGAAGUAUUCAUAGCUUCCAAGAGUGUUUGAGUGAUUUCUCUUGUAUUAGUUUGUGUGAGAAUAAGAAAAGUUUUGAGUGUUACCUUGAAUAUUCUUUUUCUCUUGCCUAUCAAUUUCCGCUGUGUUACAUUCUUAUUUGUGAGAUAGACAUCUCCAAAGUAUAGAAGUCUUUUAAAUCCCAACAGUGUUGUCCAAGGCCGGAAAGAGAAGUUUGUCUCCAGGGUCAUAAUCUCUGACUAUUUGAACAGUUUAGGCAUAGUUCCUGAUGAAUUUGGAGAACUUAGAGUUGCCCUAUGCUGUUGAUGUCAUGAGGGAGAGAGCUGAGUUCCUUCAGAAGCUCGGAUUGUCCAUCGACGACAUUAACGAGUACCUGUUGAUGAUCGGAUGUAGUGUCAGGAAAAAUAUGAUACCUGUGUUGGCUUACUUGGAGAAAAUUGGGAUUCUGAGGCCGAAACUUGGUGAGUUUGUUAAGAGUUAAUCGCAAGUAUUGAAUGCUAGUGUGAUGGUUGAGCUUGUGCCGGUCGUUAAGUUCCUUCGUGGGCUUGGUGUCGAAAAGCAGGACAUUGGUUAUGUGUUGCAGAAGUAUCCCGAGGGACGAUGAGUACUUCAGUUGCAUAUCUUGUUAGUAUUGGUGUUAGUCCUAGGGAUAUAGGACCGAUGGUCAUGCAGUAUCCCUUCGUUUUGGGAAUGAGAAUUGGGACUGUCAUUAAGCCGUUUGUUGAUUAUUUGGUAUCGUUAGGCUUGCCGAAAAAGAUAUUGGCUAGGAUGUUGGAGAAGCGGACGUAUUUACUUGGUUAUGGCCUAGAGGAGACUGUUAAACCAAAUGUUGAUUGUUUAGUUAGUGUCGGGAUCAGGAGAGAAGCGCUUGCUUCGGUUGUUGCUCAGUACCCCCAAAUUCUUAGGCUGCCUUUGAAAGCUAAAACGUCUUCACAGCUGUACUUGUUUAGUUUGAAGCUUAAGAUGGAUCCUGAAGGGUUUGCACGAGUGAUUGAGAAGAUGCCGCAGAUAGUCAGCCUUCAUCAACAUUUGAUAAUGAAGCCGGUGGAAUUCCUUCUUGGACGAGGAAUAGCUUCUGAGGACGUAGCUAAGAGCCUAAGACGGUUGUAAAAUGUCCCCCGUUGAUUGCGUCGCGUGUUGAGCUCAUGAAGAAUAGUUUGUACUUGUUUAAGAGUGAAAUGGGGCGGCCAUUGACAGAGCUUGUGGAAUUUCCGGAAUACCUUACUUACAGCUUGGAGUGUCAAAGCACAGGGAUACUUCUCUUUUUGGAGGUCUGCAGGUACGCCCAGUGGCUCUGCGGGUUGGGUCCAGGAAUACCCCAGCGAGGCUGGGUGGGAAUCUCGCUGUUGUGCUAGGAUAGCACCAAACCCGUUGGAACCAACUCAAGCUAACCCACAGGAAAUUUAUCAAAUGAAAAUGCAAGACCAAAAUAUUAAAGACACCAAGAUUUUAACGACUGGAGUACGUCCUCGGAGCAGUAGGAGCUCACCCAAGAAUCCACUAUCAACCAAAUGGGAGUUUACAAAGUGUUGGCAAUCUCACAACCCAAAUAACCCAAUACACCCAAUAGCUCUCACACACCACAGAUACAAAUAGAGAAAGAAAUAUAAUGAAUAAUUUCUUCUCUAUACAUAUAGCUCAAAGCUAUUACAACAACAACUACUUUGGUGGAUGAUCACUAACCAAAUGAAGCAACAACUUCUUCUUUCUUUUGGGCUCUCUACAACUCUCCUUGCUCUCGGUAGCUCUAACUUCUCUCUUUAGAAAAAAUGAGCCCUCUAUUCUUCUCAUAACAACAAAAGCAGCAAUUGCUGCUAAAUAAAACCAUAAGUCACCCCGUGACUUCCCACGUGGACCAAAGAAAAAAAA
Molecule: long non-coding RNA, 61198 nt
Filed under: Malus domestica (apple)
Lineage: Eukaryota; Viridiplantae; Streptophyta; Magnoliopsida; Rosales; Rosaceae
Description: long non-coding RNA (MDOM_LNC002217)
Source: RNAcentral